This 68226-nucleotide long non-coding RNA is filed under the name Ananas comosus (pineapple). Its description in RNAcentral is "long non-coding RNA (ACOM_LNC002443)". Lineage: Eukaryota; Viridiplantae; Streptophyta; Magnoliopsida; Poales; Bromeliaceae. The record is from RNAcentral.
UUUUCAGUAGUAGGAAUAUUUCCCUAUGACUUUUAUAUUGGUCUUAGUUCCUCUUCUUUGAUAUUGGUUAUAGCUUGUUUUUUCCCCCUUUUGUUGAAUAUACUAGUUAGUUUUAUCGAUUACAUAGGUGGUGUUUUAUUGUUAGAAUUAGAUAGCUGAGAAACAUGAACUGAAAAGAGACAAUUUCAACAGGAUGAAACAUUUCGUCAGGUUUAUAUGAUAUGAUGUUAAUUACAAUAUGUAAUGUAAUACAGCAAGAACCUGUGAUAAAUGGUUAGCGGAACAGAGCAGGUUGAGAGCCGAUCUAUAGAGCUGUUUGAAGAAACCUUAACUGCUUCUUUGAUUAAAAUCCCAACAAAUUCCUGCAGAAGCUAGAAGAAAAGGCUUCAUAUUAGAGCUUCCACUCUUUUUUGAAUCCAGAGUCUCAUUUUUUACUCCUUCAGCAAGAACCUUUAAGACUUUUUAAUUGACAAAUGCCUAGCUUUUGCUUCUCGAGUCAAGAAGCUAUUUCAGAAGUGUAGUAAAACAUUUGUGCAGUGGACACAACAACUACAACUGAAGGGCUUGUCAGAAAAUUCUCUUGUCAUUGUUAUUGACUUGGCUUUUAAAAAUUUCUUUGCUUCACAAUUCUUAUUAUUAUGUUACAUUUUAAUCUCUCUCCCUCUCCCUCUCCUCUCUCUCUCUCUCUUCUAAACUACCCAGUUGAUAUAUUCAUGUUUUUGUCUUACUACAGAUGUUUGACGAAGAAGCGGCCGGAAGAGCUUAGUUCUAUUGUGAAUAUUUUUACAGCCAAAAGAUACUCCAUCACAUAUUCGUAUCAAACUGGGUCGGAUGCUUCAUGAUGCCUGAUUCAAUUACCAACUGGACUGGAUGUCGCCUUAAAAAGUAUAAAAAACUUAAAAAUUCUUGGGAGUUGCUUAUGCAGCGAAAUAUCAAUACUGUCAAUUAAUAGGGAAAAUUUUUAAUUGUUCAAAGGCAGGUUCCCGGUAGUUGCAUUAUAAUUUGGGAUCUCACAUUUGUGAUUGUAAUCUCUGUUAUCUUUGCCACUUUGUCCUCUCUUUUUCUUUUUUCUUUUUUACAGGAAAUUCUAUCAGGAAUUUUUCGAUCUGGCUCUGGAAAAAUUUGGUAUUAAUUUUGUUAAUUUGUGUGAUAGUUAUCUUGUUUGGUAUGGGCUGAACAACUGACCUGAUGUGAUUUAUUUUAUUUUUUAUUUUUAUUUUUUUACUUUAAUUUUUACAUCUAUCUUCUUAUAAAGUUCUUAGAGGUUAAGCAUGCUUACAUUUGGACUUCUAUUUUCUUAUUUACUUUGCAAUUUGUUUGUUAACUUUUUAAUUAUCAUUGUUGUUUGAGAACAGAAUUAAAAUACAAUUAUAAUUUCGAAAAUUGUUUCAGAAACUUGAGUUUUGUAAACGAAUUAAUUUUGUUGUUGCUGUGUUGGAAGCCACUGAAGAGUUUUUUUAAAAAAUUAAUAGGCUUAAAAAAAUAUUAUAACUAUAAAAGUAGUUCGGCAAAUAAUUUAUUUAUAAAAUUAGGAUUAUGCGGGAAAUGAAUUAUCGUUUUUAAAAUGCGGUAAAUCAUGCAUUAUAUAUUUUUCGGAGUUCGGAUUUAAAAAAUAUAUAAGUUAUGUGAUCGAUCAAGUCUAAUUUUAUAAAUAAAAUUGUUGAAUAUUUAUUUUUUAUAAUUAAAAAGUUUUGUAGGAUUAGUUAUGCUUACAAAUUACAAUCAAAUUCGUUAACAAAUUACAAUCAAAUUCGUUAACAGUUCCUUAUUAAUUCGAGGGGAAAUUAUUUGCUUUAUUUUUUGCGUGCUCCAGUUUCCACCAUUAUCCUUCAUGCGAUGUUUGUGGUGGCAUUUGUUCCGUGGGGGAUAAUUUCAUAAGUGUUCCUUUCAAAGUCUAAAAUUUUAUUGAUGCCCCUAUAGAGUUUAAAAUUUCAUACGUUUUCCUGACAAUGUUUUAAAAGUCGUCCUAGGCGGCCUGUCAUAUGCGGCCCCUUACUUUUUUUUUCUUUUUUUUUUUUUAGAGAAAUGUAUUUCAUUUAUUUAGUUUAGAAAUAAACUUAGCUGAAAAUAUGAAUCAACUAGAAUUUGAACUUGAAUCUCGGAUACCAACCAUCAAAUUUUUUUACCAUUUGCGUUAGGAAUAGUCGGUAACUGCAUCGUAUACUGCACACUCGGUCCUAUAGGCCCGUUGGUGCGGCCGUCUUUUCUUUCUCUCGAUUUCUCUGCCUCUCUUUUAUCUCAAUUUUUUUUCCCCUGCCGAUUUGUUUUUGUCAAAAAACAUAUGCAAAGACCCCCCGCCAACUAUAUUUUGUCUUGAAAAGACUAAUUUAUCACUCUCUCUCUCUCUCUCUCUCUCUCUCCUAGUAUUGGGCUGUAGUUUUCAGGUUCCAAUAUAAUGUUGACUUUUGAAAUAGGCCCCUCCGAACUUACAUUAUAUUUUAGGUUAAUUAGCCUGUAAUUAUUAUUUACGGGUUGAGGAGGUGUGACAUAAAAUUUGGAUUAGCCUACAGUUCAAGGGGCUUUCAAUUUCUAUACACUUUUAUCAAUUUGUAAAUUGCAAUUAAAGAUGACAUUUGUAUGUUUGAUAAGAUGGCUAAUUAAUUCCAGUUCCAUCUCAAGACCUUUCUCUUCAAUCCUCCGUUGUUCUUCUUCUGCCCCCCAAUUGAGAACAUCAAAGUUGAGAAUCUCAAAAAUGGGAUUCGAAUCGCGCACAACUUGCUAAAAGCCGGACUAGCCAUGGCCGUUAACGGUCGUCACGAAAAGAGCGGUGACGACCCCUUCGAAAUGUUAUCGACGUGGGUAGUUCAUCGUUUUGUGAGUUGUUCGAAAAUACAAAAUGUGUGAGUAUCAUAACCGACAGCAUCUGAAGAGAGGAGUAAAGUCACAGAAACAACAUUUGGAUUGUAUGUCUACAUUCAACAGUCAUGUAAUUUUUGUUCUCUAGUUGAGAUAGUGUCUACAAGACACAAACCGAGAGCUAUUCAAAGAGGAAAACAAAGAACUUAAUAUUUCACUAAAAACUCACCAUUGCAAAUUUAUAACCACAUAGACACAAAGUAAGCAACACGGAAAAUAUUCAAAUAAGCAAAGACUCAACAGCUUCACAUCAAGGUAGAAGCUCCAUCUGAGCUUCCACUUUUGUUGUUAUCACCAAUGUUAUAAACCACAGAAACCGAAAUUGCAAACUUUAGUCGCAUGCAUUUACCAGUAAUCCUGAACUGCUUGUGAAAUGAUAAUACAAGAGUUUGAUUUGAUUUAUGAUAUAUAAACCACCCACAAAUUCAAAUGUACACACACAAUAGACCUUCAUAUAUAACUUGGAUGAUAAUAACUAGGAAGUCUCAAGAACCUCUCGCCGCUUUAAGGGGGGGGGGCAUUAGUCACUUUAGAGUUUAAUACAUUUAGCCAUUCGUCGUCAACAUGACAAAUCCACAUAAAUACAUUUCCAUAUACACAUACAUAUAUUUAUAUAACAUAUAUAAAUAUAUGGUCCUUUUAAAGAUUAUUUACUAUUUCUAUAUAGCGAGUUCAUCAAGAUGGCGAUCCAUGAUUUCUGAAAUGGUUUCCAUGAAUGAAGCUUCGCUGAAUCCCAGAAAAGCAGCUUCGUUUGCUUCUUUCAGAAUCUCUUCGAUUUUGGAUUCUUUCUUGAUGGUCUCUCUGCACAAAAUGCUUCCUAUAUCAUACGGAGUUAGUCCUCUCUCGACGCCCUUCUUAAGAAGCAUGGUGGUUAUGCGGAGAGUGCGAGCACAGUUAUGAGAGAGGUCCCAACCAUAAAAUCUGAGAAGCUCAAUGUCCUCCUCGGCGUUUAGUGAUUUUAUGUAGUCGAUGGUUUCAGAGUUGAAGGGUUGGCGGGACUGCGGCCAGUAGAGCCACUCAAAGGUGCAAUCUUCAAACUGCAUCAGAAACAGAAAUCUCCCAUUAAUACUUGAUUCACACACACACACACACACACAUACAUUACAUCUAUUGCAAAAGUUUUAACACUUCUUAUGUUCAAUAAGAACCCAAAUGUAAAACUCCUAAUCGAAGAUCAAAAUUGUUUAUCAUGAUCUAAACACCGGUGGCAUUUCUCAAUGAACCAUGCUUUUGGAAUCUCAACAAAAUGCAUACAAUCAAAAUCCAAGGCAUGAUAAUUUCUCUUCUUUCAACUAAUGUGGUUAAUCUCAAAUUGCAAUAAAUUCCUAUAAUUAUCUUAAUGAAAAGUCUGAAAAUCUCAGAGCAUGUAAAAACGGGUGAACAAAGUUACACGGAACUAACACUAAAUGCUUUAGCCUUGAAUUAUUAUAACAUAAUUCAUACGCACCUUUUCGCAGAGAUAAGAAAAAAAGAGAAAAAAGAAAAGAAAUCUUUAAUCAACACAACAGCAAACUCACAUUCUCAGGCAGGCAAUAUCCAUGAUCAAUAGGAAUAAGCACCGGCCUUCCUUCCUCUCCUCCCUCGCUGCAAAAUAAUAUAUUCCCAGCAUGCCUAUCUGUAUUCGCCAACCGUAUAUCCAACACGCAGAUCUUGUGCACCUCCUGUACGGGAAACGCCCUCGGCCCCAUAUCCUCACAGCUCCCAUUGUUCUUCACAAACAUCUGCAAAGACCCGAUCUUGAAAUCCUUCUUUGCUUCAUUCGCAUCAAACCCUGGAGGAUGAUUAAAAGCUCUGUGCAAGCAUUUCACCAUAGCUGUAGGAGGAACUCCGGAAAAGCCGAAGUCAAGUCCAGAAAGUGACUUCUUCCCGCCUAUUGGAUGGUCGAGAACGUAUGCCGCGACUUCCCGAAUUGCACCUUCGCCGACCUGCGUCCCUCUCUUCAAUCCCUCUCCGUUUGCCGAGAGCGGCAGCCCUCGCGGGUUGUUCUCAGCCAUCGGUUCCUCGUCGAUCGGCUUAAACACGGCGAUGUACUUGUGGCCCAAUACAUCUUGCAUAAAGUACGCCCCUCCUGUACCUUCCGACGACAAGAUUGGCGGGUUCCCAUUCUCCAAUCCAGCAAGAGUGGCGGUAAUGAGAUUUUUAAUUACUGGAGGCAAUUCGACCUUCGGAUUAACAAUGAACGGCUCGAUCCAAACAUCUCUAAUCGGUGGUUUCCUAGUAACAUGUACAUCUGGUGCUAUAAUCGAGAGCUCAAAUUCCUUAUCCACAGGCUUGCUCCUGACCUUCGCUGAUCUCCUCACCAGCAAGUGUAUUACAGCAUCAUUGUUCUUGCAUAUAUCGUGAAUCAACCGCUGAUCAUCGAGCUCCUCGCCAUCGAAAAUGAGCUUCUGAUCGUCAAAAUUGAGAACCUCUUUGCUUUUCUUUGUGAUUUCUUUCUUCACGUAAGCAACAGUCCGGCCUCGCUCGACAUGGAACUUGAACUUCUUCCCACAGACGGUUUUCACGGUGAUUACUCGGAGAUCGGAGACGCGGAUAACAAGGUGGAGGAGAUUACCGUCAGACACGCCGUAGUCCCGGAUUAAGCAGUCAUUGCGGGCCAGCUCACGGCCGUCGAAGACCAGCUUCUGCUUCUUCACCACAAAGCCCUUGCAGGUCUGAACCCGAAGUUUGACCGAAGCAAUUGAAUCGGAUUCCGAGACCCGCAUCGGAAUCACCGAUAGGCCCGGGAUCGAAAGGUAUAUCAUGAUUGAAUCCAGAGAGCGAUGUGGCGAUCGAGCAUCGUUCGAAUUGAAGGGAAAGAGGAAAAGAUCUUCCCCAACAGGGUUGAGAGUGGCUCCAGCCGACGACAUACUUUUAAUUUCUGAUUAGGAUUGAAGAGAAUUCUUCGAUUCUCUAAUCGCAACGAAAGCCACAAAGAAGGCACGACGAUCUCAAACCCUAAAAUCCAUCGCCGAUUCCGCCCUAAUUCCCCUAACCCAGCCUAAUUUCUGCAAUCCCUUCUAGAAUUCCCCCCCAAAAAAAGAAUCUCAACUUGGAAACGAUCAACAGAUUAAAAUAUCAAAAUCAAGCACCAAAAGCACCUAAAAGCCCUAAAUUUCGAAUCGAACGCAGCAGGAACAAACCCUAGACCGAAAAGGAGCCACCUUUUCGAGGCUGAGGGUUUAAUCCGACAAUGUCGACGGAUCUAACAAUGAUUUAACCAAAAAAUUCGAUUCAAAAGGGAUAAAAAAGGGCACAAAAUGGGGAUUUCCGCGUCGAAGUCGAUCGAGAGAGGGAAUGAAAAAUGGGGGGAUGAGGGUGGGGGAAUGGAUUCUUACCGGAAGGGGAAAGAAUCGAGGAGGAGAGGGCGACGAGGAGGAGCUUAAAUCGUGCGACAAAUAUAGCAAAUUGGGGGCGAUCGAUCGCAGCGGUUUAGGGUUUCGGUUCGGCUCGGUGCGUCCCCAUUUCUUUCUCUCUCUCUCUCUCUCUAAGCUCUCGAAGGCUCGCGCGCAUUUUAAUGCGAGUUUUUCGAAUCAUGACCGUUGGGAUUUAAAUAGAGGAGAGAGAGAGAGAGAGAGAGAGAGAGAGAGAGAGAGAGAGAGAGAGAACGGAACGGAGAAGGGGGAACGGGAACGUAGCCGUAGCCGUUAAAAGCGGUUGGAAUUGGACCCGAACGCAACGGGACGUUAGGGGCAUGGCCUAACGGCGUUAAGUAUGGGAAAUGAAAGGUGAAAAAUGUAUGGAGACCCCCCAACUAUCCGACGUUACGAAAUGGCCUCCCAAAUUUAGUUUUCUUUCUUACUUAGUGACACCCCCUCAACUUUCUAUUAUUGCAAUGGAGUAAUUUUUAUUAAUAAAAUAAAAACUUCAUUAAAUUCAUGUGCGAUAUUUCAUAAUUUUAAAUAAAUUUUAAAAAGAAAAUAAUCAACAACUAAUCGUUGAUAUAGCUAUUUAAUUUUAAAAUUGUAAUUUAACUAAUUAGAAAACCUCAAAUCUAAAAAUUGAAAGUUCAGGAAUGGAGUACGUUAAAACGCACUGAGUGAUGUCUCGAGAAAAAAAAAAUUAUUUUGAGGUGUAUGAUAUAUACCUCAUCUAUCUAAUGGAUGAGAUUUAUUUACUUGACAUAUAAUGUAACUAAUGAGUGAGGUGUAUAUCAUACACUCUAAAAGAGGUGUAUGAGCAGUAUUAAUUUCAAAUUUGUCCAAAAUUAAGGAGGUUGAAUAAAUGCUACUUAUAUAUUUCAAAAGAGAUAUACAUCUUAUAUCCUUUCCUUAACUAAAGUUUCAAAUAAAGUAGAGUAAGGUGACUCUAAAAAAUCGAAACGAAUGGGUCCAAAUCAAAAGUGUAAAAGGUGAGGGACAUUUCAAAUAAAAAUAAGUCACUUAUAUAUUCUAUUUAUAUGGUGCAAAUCCCACACUCACCUAACACUGGAUUGGAAAACUCUUCUUGGAUUUUAGUUUUUGGGCUUAAAAUCUCUCCUUAGAUUUUUAGUUUUCUAGAAAAAAAAAAGAUUUAUAAUACGAGUAAAAAUUAGUCUUUGUAUGGCGAGGAUGUAAACUUUAUAAACAUUGGACGAGAAAUGCGUAAAAUUUACGUUCAUUUUUAUGUGCACAGAUAGUAUUGUUGUGACGAAUAUUGACAAUAGGAAUAACGAUUUGGAUUAAUGUGUCGCAUACCUGUGAUUAUUGGUAAUACGUUCACUCAAUUCAAAUCUGAAGUUGAGCUUCCGUGCUUUUAAAAGUACAAGAGCUCAACAUACUUGUGAUUUUUUUUAACAGUCAUAUAGCUUUAAGAUCCGUGAAAUGCUAGUAAAAGAGAAUUAGUGAGGCAUACCAUUAAUAGUAAUAUACGUAUUUUGAGGCGAUUCGACGGCUAAAAAGUCACAAAGACUAAUGCUUCUGUGCUUUUAAUACCAUACAAGAAUAUAAAUUGUACAAGAUUAGAGGAAAAGUAUAAGGGUUAUUUAAAUAUUAGAGUGUGUAUACUACAACAUAAUUUUAUAAAUUUUUAUAUAUUUCUAUUCACAUCUAUAUAUGCCUUUUUUUUUUGUGAGAGAGAGAGAUAUAUAUAUACCAAAAUUUCAGGUUUGAUAUUAAAUGGGUUGUUAGCGAAUUAGGCAGGUAAUACGGAUUAAUCCAAAUAAGAACAAUUUAACAAGCAAGUUAAAUGGGUGAUCCAAAUUUAUAUAAUCUAAACUUAAACUAGUUAUUUUGGGGUCUGAUCUUGUUAAGAGUAUAUGGAUAAUAUCAAAUUUUAUUUAAAUAUAUGUAUAAAUGUCCAAAUUUACUAUCUAAAUGGUAACGUAAACCUUCCAUACCAGGUUUACCAAUUAUUAGUAAUGAAUAAUAAUAUUUAAAGGCCAAAUUACAUAUAUUUUAAAUGAAGCCACAUAUCAAUCACAAUAUGUUUCAAUUAACACUUACACAAUUUUUCUUAUUUUUCUUGAAAGAAAAAAAUAUAUUAUAAAGAGAAUUCAUAAAAUUGUUGAUUAUAGUAAAUUUUCGCAUUUAUUGUUACAAAAAUAAAUAUCUCAUUUAUAAACUUAUAGCGCAAUAAGAGUUGAGUUUCUGUGAAGUACUUGUGAAUUUUUAGCCAUCGAAUAAUCUUAAAAUUCGUAUAGUAUUAGUAAUGGUGAGGACUGUUAAGUCUUUUUUACACAUGAAUUUUGAAGUGAUUCGACGGUUAAAAAAUUACAAGCACAUGAGUUCCUGCGCUUUUAAAAGCACGUGAGCUCAACUCAAACACAAAAUCUGAGAAAACAUUUGCUAUAUAUGGUGGAAAUGCAAGGUUAAAUCAAGUGAUGGAAUAGAAUCAUUUAGUUACGUGUAGUUUACAUUACGCUUGUUUAGGUGUGUAGUUUGAAAGGAGGGUAAACUUCAAAUACCACCCCUGUAGUUUUGAACUUUCUUACUUUAGUAUUCUAUGGUUUAUAGUGUAUCAAGUUAGUGUCCUCUAGUUUUAUUUUUAUCUUUUUGUCAGUUUUUUUUUUUAAUUUUUCGAUAAAUUAUAUACAAAAAGCUUCAAAUACCUCAUCUAGGUUUAUCGAAUAUUUACUUUAGUACCCUUUGGUUUUAACUUUGUCAUUGAUUCAACGAAAAAAAUUAGUGAAACCGAUAAUAAGAAGAUAAAAAUGAAACCGCAUGGCACUAAAUUAAUACACUUUAAGCCACAGAAUACUGAAGUGAAAAAGUGUGAAACCACAAGGAUAAUAUUUGAAAUUUUUCCUUUAAAAAAUCAAAGCGCUUCUACCCAACAAGUUACAGACAAUUUCAAAUGUCCCCUUCAAAAGAUAAAAAAUAUAGAGGAUACCUUUUUUGAAAUUGUCAAUAUCAUAUUUGCCCUUAUUUAGUUUUUUAAUGAAUUGUUACUGAUUUGGAUAUUUACGAUAGUUUUUCUAAAUUAAAAGGGUAUUUUUUUACACUGACUCUUUUAGAAAGAUAUUUAUGUAAUUCAAUGUUGGAGAAAGAGUAUAUAUAAAACUAACCCAAAAAGUUAAAAAACUUGGGUAAAAAAAAAAGAAGAUUGUAGUUGUGUAAAAAAAUUAAUCAAAUAGAAUUAAGACGAAGCUGCUUCGUCUUGUUGUUGUUGUUGUUGUUGUUGUUGUUGUUAACGAGCUAUUGUCACCGUUGUAAAGAAUCUACCCCAAACAACUUUACUACAUAUUACAAUUUUAAUUGCAUAUGAAUAUAAAUGCAGUGUUUGUUUGAAUUAGUUCAUUUAACAAGCUGUUUGAUUUUAUAUAAUUAAAAGGGUUUUUUUUGCAAAUAGCCCCCUGACAAAUUUUAUUUGCAAAAAUAGCCCGAUCCAAAAAUUAUUUGCAAAAAUGGCCCUGCCCCUGCCACGCCAGCGCUACGUCAGCGCCACGCGGGCAGGACGGGCCCAGGCGUUUAAGUUGAACACGGUGAACCAUUCACCGUGUUCAAUAUAAAAUUUUUGUAUUGGACACGGUGAAUGGUUCGCCGUGUCCAAUACAAAUACCCCAACUAUGACUAAGUUGGAGGUAUUUGUAUUAGACACGGUGAACCAUUCACCGUGUCCAAUUAUUUGUAUUGGACAUGGUGAAUGAUUCACCGUGUCCAAUAUAUUUUGUAUUGGACAUGGUGAAUCAUUCACCGUGUCCAAUACAAAAACUUUGUAUUGAACACGGUGAAUGGUUCACCGUGUUCAACUUAACCAUCUGGUCCAGCCCCGCCCGCGUGGCGCUGACGUGGCGCUUGCGUGGCGGGGCCAGGGCCAUUUUUGCAAAUAAAUUUUUGACAUGGCCAAUUUUAAAAAAAAAAUUUGCAAGGGGGCUAUUUGCAAAAAAAGCCCUAAUUAAAAUGUAGUGUAUUAGGAGAUGUAGAAAGUGUUGUAAUUAUAAAUAAUUUAUUUAGUUACAUGAGUUGAGCUGGAAUGCUGUUAGUAGCAAACUAGCUCGUUGUCAUUGAUUUGUUUUUUAUGAUGGAGCUUUUAAAUCGACAAUCGGCACCGUUGAACAUGAUAUAUACUACUUAAGCAUCUACAAAUCAAAUUUCAUAUUUUUUCGAUAUUGUUCUUUUAUUCAUAAGUGAAUAUAAAAAUAAAUAGCUGAAAGUUAAUAUCCUUUAAAAAAUAGAGAUAGAAAUCUUGUAAAUAAGAUCAAGAGUAUACAUCUUGUUUUAAAUAGUUUAAAAUAUUUUUUAACCAAAAUUUUACGCCGUUAAACAAAAAAAACGUUUCAUACCGAUUAUUAAAAUUAUAAAAUUUGAAACCCUUUGAUAAUUAGGCCAAUAGUGUCAAAAAGAUUUGAGAUUUGGGUUAUAGAUAUUUCAAGUGGUAUAAAUCAUAUUCAACCGUGCUGAUCGUCGAUUUGAAGUCUUCAUCAUGGAAAAUAAAUGAGUGGCAAUAAAGUUCGUUUAUUACUGAGAGCAUUUCAGCUAACUCCUAGUUGUAUGUAGUUGAGAAAUAUAUUGAGAAAAUUUUACUCUUUAUACAUACACGGUGAGAUUACCUCUAAUAUUAAAAAUAUAUAUUUUGUUGUUAAAAAAGUAACUAAGGAGUUAAGUUUAUAUGUUAUUUAUAUUAUUCUUUCCAACAGUACCAGUUGAGCUCCUUCGUAUAGUUCUAACUUUUUAGAAUUUUGAUUUUACUAUCCAACUUUUCAAUUCAUUUGAUUUGAGUGAGCCAGCGACACUUUGCUUGCAAAAUUUAAGCAAAUUACUUAUUUUAACGAACUUCUAGUUGUGAGAAUUAUAUAAAAUAUAUUAAUUAAAUCUGUAAAAAUAAAAGAUGUAUUUAAAUUUUGAAGUUUAAAAUUUCGUUGAUCGACUUAAAUCAAACAAAUUGAAAAGUUAGGUAAUAAAAUUAAAAUUUUAAAAGAUUGGAUAAUUAAAUCCAAACGGUCCAUAGCUCAGGUAAAUUGCAUAUGUUUUUACCUAAUUUUAAAUUUAUUUUUGAGGAUAAUAAUAUUAAAUAAUUUGAAAUGUAUGUGGAGCUAAAAUAGUUUUAAAUCAAACUUUAGGUUACUCGGUGAAAGCUAAACAAUUUUAAAUGUGGAGGGAAGUUCAUGUGUAAUUUAGUUAAUUUGAAAUAUUUAAUUAUUAUAAUUAAUUAACUAUUAACUAAUUAACUAAAUUAAUCUAUUUAUACGGUCGAAAUUUGAAAGAAACAAUCCUCCCUCUUCUCUUCCCCAACUCUUCUAUUAAAACAAAAAAAAAAAAAAANCGGCGGUCUCGGAGGCCGACGCGCUCAUCGCCUUCAAAUCCACCCUCUCCGGCGCCGGCGCCGGCGCCUCCGCCGCCUCUGGAGUGGAGAGUCUCCGAGGUCUUCACCGAACGGGCCGGCAGAGACGAAGCAUCGGAUUGUACGAUACUUAGUCUCCUCCUUUUCUUUUUCUUUUUAAAUUUUUGUUUUCAUCUAAUCUGGUAUUGGUUCGUUCGAUCGAUUAGGGUUUCUUUUAUGGCUUCUUGUUUGCGCGCUUUGAUGUGUUCUUGUGAUGAAAUGUAGUUAACUGAAUAGUUGUUUAGGACUAUUUGUUGCUUACUAAAUUUGGAACUUAGAAUGCAAAAUGAUGCGCAAGUGUCGUCUUAGAAAUUGAAAUUAGCUAACGAGAGUAUAUUUGUUUUAACCUUUUCAUCGUGAUUUUGAUUUGUUUGGAUUGCUAGAGAAGAAGAAAAAAGAAUAAAAAGAAUAAAAAGAAAGUAACUUUCUCCAGCAUAUCUUUCUCUCUCUCUUUCUCUUUCCACUUUUGGAGAGGAAAGAAGUUGACUUUCUCUCUGUUUCUCUUCUUUACCCUUUCUCUUCUUUUCUCUCCGUUUCUCUCCGUGCGAGUAGAGUUGAGUAAAGGUCACUGAUAAAUAUGUUUAAUCUCACUUUUGUUUCCUUAAUUUGGUUUUUGAGGUAUCACUACUUUUAUAUGUUUGUCAUGUUAUGGAAAUAAAGGUGUGACAGCUUUUGUUUUUACGGUAGUCAAUUUGCCUUAUCUUGUGUAAGUAAGUGCUUGUUUAGCGCGGUUUUUAGAGCAGCUUCUAUUCUAGAGAGGCAAAGGUUAUGCGCUUGAUGAUUGAUAGGUCUAGAGCUUCUGGCUUGUGUUGGAAGCAGAAAUGAGCUUUUCUAAUUUAAUCAUUAAAACCAGUUCAUGGUUUCAAUGAAUCUCAUGGUAUAAAUAUUGGUUAAAAAAUAAUCAGUUGAUCCUAUUUUGUGCAAAGGCUUUGACGAGGAUAUCUUUUAAUUCUCCAAUCAUCAGUGUUUUGCGCUACAUACUCCAAGAGUUAGAAAUGCAUUUAAGUGUUGUAGUGUUUGAAGAAAAAGAACAAAAAAGAGCUUAUGUGGAUGAUUACAUUCAAAAAUUUAUAAUGGUCCAACAUGAGAAGCUCUUUCUUAUUGAUAAUUGACACUUUGAUUUUUAGGAGGUUCCUUUUAUUAUUCUUUUUUUUUUUUUUGAAUUAGCUGCCUUUCACUUUCUUUGUGUUGCUCAACCAAAGAAUAACAACUUACUGAACUUUGACUAUUCAUUACUAGUACACCAGGGUCUGUCUUUCGUUGCAUUUGUUAAGUACUUAUUAAGAAGGUAGAUCCAUACUACCUUAUGUUCUCAGGUUCUUGGGAACAUACUGUUCUUAUUUUACGUGUUAUUUACUACCAACCCAUGCGAUGCACGGAUUUUAAUUUUAUCUUUUUGUUAUAUCUUUUAUAUAAUAUAUAUUAAUUUAGACAAAUUAAGUUUUUAUUAGAAAAAUUAUUGAAUCAAAUUAAAACAAUACUAUCAUGAUAUGCUAAUAGAAUGUAAGAAAAUAAUUUAUAAUUAUAAAUUAAUUCAGAGCUAAUUUGACUAAGAAGUAAAGAAAUUAAGCAAAUUAAUUUUCACUGUAAUUGGAAUCGUAAUUUAUUUUUUUUAUGUGGUUCAUAAAUAGAUAUUUUUAUAAUCCUCCAUGGGAAUUAAUUUAAAUAAAAGUAAUAUAAAUUGCAUGAUCAACUAAUUUAAAUUGAAGAAAUUUAAAAGUGAAAAGCAAAUUUAUAAUCCUAUAUAUAUAUAUAUAUAUAUACUGGAACACAGUAAGUAAUACUAUUCUCAAGGUAUAUUGGAACCUUCUAUGAAACUGCGCCACAUGGCAUCUUGUGGUUCACUUGGAACCUUGCUUCCAAAAUACUAUAUAUAUGUAUAUAUGAUAGUGUACAUUUACUUUGCAUGAGCCAUGGGAUGAUGUGCAAUAUUUAUGCAGCCCAGGUGGCAGACCAUCCAUUAUAUUUUGUUUUCUUAUUUGGCUUAUAUUUAGGGCUUUCUAGCUAAGCCGACUCCCUUAUGAACUUUUGCUUAUUGCAGUUGAUGUAAUUUCGGCAAUAGAGUUUGACAGCUCGGGAAGUUAUCUUGCCACUGGAUAUAGAGGAGGGCAGAUAGUUUUGUCAGAAAGGACAGAUAUUAAGAAUGUAUGUUAGACAUAUUUGACAUGUUAAUAUUUAUAAUUGGCAUCUGCCUUCGUAGUCGCUCAGAUUUUCUUUCUUUUCUCUUCUUCUCUUUUCUUUUUUUCGUUUUUGCCCUGUAGCAUGUUAGUAGAAGGGAUCUUGAGCGGGCCGAUUAUUCAGCUAGUAGGCAUGCAAAAUACAGUUACAAAACUCAGUUCCAAAGUCAUAAAUCCGAGGUACUACUUUUUCAGAGCUUAGGUAAAACUAGAAUGAUGCUUUUUUAAUCCAUAUUUAAUUGGACUAGCUUCAUUUCUAUGUGAUCAGUUUGAUUCCCUUAGAAGCUUGGAGAUAUCUGAGAAGAUUAACAAGAUACGAUGGUGUCAACCAGCCAAUAGCGCGUUGUAUCUUCUCUCCACGAAUGACAAAACAAUAAAGUUCUGGAAGGUAGCCUGUAACUUUUUUCUGCACCUUUUUCUUUUUUACUGUAUAGAGGAAAAGUAAAGUUAAAAAAAUCCACUAGGUGAAUCCUGAUCUUUUAUCUCACUUAUUAAUUCGAUGUGCUUUUCAAAUCCAUCAUGUACGUGAGGGGGGUUGGUUAGUAUAUUUCUGGGCUGUUUACUAUUAGAUCGUCCUAAUGCAUAACAAUGACUAGUGCUUUGUUUUUUUUUUUUUUUUUCUAGAAAUGUUCUCCUAUUAAUGCUUAACUAAGGCAGUCGGGUCAAACAAGUAGACCACAAAACUGGGUUAUCUAUUAGUAAAAUUAAGUUGUUUACCUUAUUCACACCCAAAAAAAAAAAGAAAAAAAAAGGAAAAAAAAAAGAAAACUGAGACAUCUCGCUCUACUUCUCAUUCUUCUCAUAGUACUUAAUCAUAGUACUAUUUGUGUUUUCACUUGGUAUCUGUACCUGAUUGAUUUAAGGCUUUCUUUGUAUAAUUGCUGCCUGUUAAGUCUAACGAAUUAAAUGUAUUUUGACAGGUGCAAGAGAAGAAGGUGAAAAUAAUUUCAGAGAUGAAUUCAGAUACUUUAUAUUCGAGUGGAAAUUGUAGUGUUGCUAGCUCUAGUACAGCUAGUCCGCCUGUAUAUCUUCCAAAUGGAGGGCGUUUAGAAAGGCAGUACAAUUAUAUAAGUAAUGACCUUUCAUUCCCGCCUGAAGGGUUUCCAUCGCUUCGUUUUACUACGGUAAUUGUAUUCAGCUCAACCGAUUCCUUUGGCGUGAUAUGGUCAUUGAAUUGGUGCUAUUUUCUUUUGUUCUAAUUGUUUUAGAAACUUCUUACUUUUUUAGUCCUUUUUUCUUCAGUUCUCUAAGCUGUGCCAUAUAACCUUGUUUUUGUUAUUCAGGUAGCAAGCCAACAAAAAAGUCUUAUUGCUCAAUGCAGAAGAGUAUAUGCUAACUCACAUGAUUAUAACAUCCAUUCGAUUUCAAAUAACAGGUUUUGUGCCUCUUUACCCUAUAUUUUACUCGAUAAAUCUCUAAUUACUUUAGGCAUUAACUUUCAUGGUCUAUUUUGUAACAGAUUCUUUAUUUAUCGGGAUCCCUUUAUUUUGUCACUUGAAGAUCUUUUCUCAUUCAGAUUUGUUUGCACUAACAGUUUUGCACAUUAUAUACUCAAGUACCUAAAUAUUAAGGACAUAUUGUAUACUGCCCUUUACCUUUCAAAAGAGAGAGAGGAAAAAAAAAUCAUGUACUAUGUUUUAAUAUUCUUGAUGUUUGUCUCACAUGUAGUAGUAAAAAAGGCUAUGUGAGACUCUACUAUGGCAAGUUAAUUAAAUUUUUCUCAUAAAAAGUUGUCAUAUUGUGGUGACUAAUAAGAUUUCCGAAAUAGAAGAAAAAGAAUAUAUUUACACAGGACGAUUUUCUGUCUAACAGUGUAAAAGCUUAAGCCAUAGCCGGAAAGUUCUCACAUGACAAUUGUAUUAACACUUUCUUCAUGGUCAAAGGAAGAUGCAUUUUCUAUCUGCAGAUUGAACCCGUAAAGAAUCCUUUGUUUAAUUUGAAUAUAUUGUUCUUGUGGAUUAUUGUGAAAAAAUCACUUUCCUUGGAUGAACAUAGAUAUGUCCUGCUUGUGGUAUUGCAAGUUCAUGCUCAUUUUUUUUGUAAAUGCUGUCUCUCUCUCUCUCUCUCUCUCUCUAGAUUCUCAAGAAGUUGUUUAUUUGUAAUCACAUUAUCUUAAUGAUCUUUUAUUCUGCAGUGAUGGUGAGACUUUUAUAUCAGCUGAUGAUUUACGGAUAAAUCUUUGGAACUUGGAAAUGUGCAAUCAGGGUUUUAAUAUUGUUGAUGCAAAGCCUGCCAAUAUGGAGCAUCUUUCUGGUACAUGUUUCUCUUCUGUGUCAGCUCGGGUGAUAAAACUAGUGGCAGUGGGCAAACAAGUGCCUGGCAGUAGUGUGCGCUUUCGCUCCCCUUUUUCUUAAUUCAAAUUCUAUGCGAGGUUGACUGCAGAUUGUUUGUAAUGGUACCUUCUUGGAUUUGCUGGCAAUGGAUAACAAAGACUAGUAGUAAAGUUUUUGUACUUCUUUGUUUUUCUUAAAAGAUGAGUUUGCAAGUUAACCAACAAUAACAAUAAUAGAGAACAGCUGGCAGAGAAUUCCGUCAAAUAGAGUUAGUUUAGAAAGAAACCGAAAUGAGAGUUUUACAAACGAGGCCUUUGUUUCUUUCUUUUUCAGCUAUGUUUAUUCUGAAUCAGUAGCCAAAGUUACACAGCUUAUUGUUUCCUACAAUAUGCAGAGGUGAUAACAUGUGCCGAGUUUCAUCCUACUCAUUGCAAUAUUUUGGCAUACAGCAGCUCAAACGGCUCAAUACGACUUAUUGAUAUGAGGCAAUCAGCUUUAUGUGAUAAGCAUUCCCAACUGUAAGCAAUCUCUCAAUUUUGUAUUGAAUUCCUAUAAGAAUCCAGUUUAGAGAUUUUUGCAUAUAUUCCUCCACAAUCUUUUUCAUAUAUAUAUAUAUAUAUAUAUAUAGAGAGAGAGAGAGAGAGAGAGAGAGAGAGAGAGAGUCCGGUUGGGGUGCUUCCAAUAGUACCAAGCAUUUGGUGCUAUCAACUUUUCUACCAUUAGAUCUACCCCUUUGACUAUUUUUACUCUUUGGAUCAUGCUAUUCCAUCAUCCACCACUAAACCCUAGGGGGACAUUAUCAUCCUAACCACACAACCCUUCAACCUAGGGCUGAAAACUCAUAUAUAUAUAUAUAUGUGUGUGUGUGUGUGUGUGUGUGUGUGUGUAUAUAUAUAUAUAUGGAAUUAUGCUACUAUACUAUCGAUGGUACAAAGCGCUUGGUGCUAUCGAGUUUUUGGCUGUUGGAUUAAAGGAUGUACGGUUAGAAUAAUAGUGGUCCCCUAGGGUUGAGUGGGUGGUUGGUUGAAUAGUAUAAUCUAACGAGUGGAAAUGAUCAAAGGGUAGAUCUAAUGGCAGAAAACUCGAUAAUACCAAGAGCUUGGUACUAUCGAUAGUAUAGUAGCCGGACUAUAUAUAUAUGUGUGUGUGUGUGUGUGUGUGUGUGUGUAUAUAUAUAUAUGGAAUUAUGCUACUAUACUAUCGAUGGUACAAAGCGCUUGGUGCUAUCGAGUUUUUGGCUGUUGGAUUAAAGGAUGUACGGUUAGAAUAAUAGUGGUCCCCUAGGGUUGAGUGGGUGGUUGGUUGAAUAGUAUAAUCUAACGAGUGGAAAUGAUCAAAGGGUAGAUCUAAUGGCAGAAAACUCGAUAAUACCAAGAGCUUGGUACUAUCGAUAGUAUAGUAGCCGGACUCUAUAUAUAUGUGUGUGUGUGUGUGUGUGUGUGUGUGUGUGUGUGUGUAGGAAUUUUUUACAAAAUAACCAUCUAAAAUUUUAUAAUUUGCGAAAUAACCCUAUCAAAUUUGUAUUUGGCAAAUUAACUUUCGAAACGCGGUGAAUUAUUUACCGCAUUCUGAAAGUCUCUAAGUCUUUUAAAGGCAGUGAAUCAUUCACCGUUUUCUUCAUAAUUUUUUGGGAAAGAGAAAAAAAUGAGGUUGUUAAAAUUAUAUGUAGAUUACACGGGAAAUAAAAAAAGUGAGGUUGUUAGGAUUGUGUGUGGAAUAUUAGAAUUUUUGUUUGAUUGUUAGAAUUGUAUUGGAUAGAUUAAUAAAUUUUUUUUGAUUGUUAGGAUUAUAUGAAUAUAUUAUUAGGAUUUUAAAAUUGUUAAGAUUAUAUGUGAUAUUUGAUUAUUACGAUUGUAUGGAUAGAUUAUUAGGAUCUUUUUGAUUGUUAGGAUUGUAUGGAUAGAUUAUUAGAAUUUUCAGGUUGUUAGGAUUAUAUGUGAUUUGUUGAAAUAUUUAUGUGGUUGUUAGGAUUAUAGAAAGAAAUAAUAAACAAGUGAAAUGCGGUGAAUAAUUCACCGCUUUUCUGAGAAAUUAGGAAAGCGGUGAAUCGUUCACCGUCUUUACGAAGGCAGUGAACCAUUCACUGUCUUUAAGAGAUUAGUUUUUUAAAUAUAAUUUUGGUAAGGUUAUUUCGCAAAUAAUAAAAUUUUAAAAGGUUAUUUUUAUAAAAAAGUCCAUAUAUGUAUAUGUGUGUGUGUGUGCGCGCGCGCGCGUGUAGCUACGAAAGCAAAAUUUCAUGUAUACCCUUUAAAAACUUGAUUCUAACAUGAAAACACCUCACUUUAAGCAAUUCUUAUAAUAAAAAAACUAACCUUUUCUUGUCAAUUGCUUGACUUCCCAACUUAAAGGUACAGCUAUUUUGCAAAAGAAGUGCACUUGCAUGGUGAAAUUGACAUUUUUAGGGCAUAUAUGAUAUGCAUACAUAGAUGAUUUAUUGAUUUAUAUGUGUGUUAUAAGCUGCCUUACAUCAUGUUGAGUAUCAACAUGUAUUAUAUUUUUUUCAUAUUGCUUGCUUGCGUGCUGAUUGUUGCAAUAAUCUAUCUUACGUUCCAACAGGUUUGUGGGGCAAAAGUCGCCAGCUUUAUGGUCCCCUUUUACUGGGAUUAUUUCUUCAAUUUCAGACAUUAAGUUUGAAAAGAAUGGAAGGCAUAUCUUAAGUCGUGAUUACAUGACUGUUAAGGUUAAUAAUUCUCAAUUCUUAUAAUAAUUUAUCGUUUAUUCAUUUCAGUUUUAAUAGCUAUAUAUAUAUAUAUAUAUAUAUAUAUAUAUAUAUAUAUAUAUAUAUAUAUAUAUAUGGAGUUGAGCUAGAAUGCUAUCGGUAGCAAACGGGGUCCGUUGCCACCCAUUUGUUUUCGAUGAUGGAGCCUCCAAAUUGACGAUCGACACCGUUGAAUAUGAUCUAUACCACUUGAAAUAUCUAGAAACCAAAUUUCAAUUCUUUUCAACAUCAUUGGCCUAAUGAUCAAAGGGUUUCAAAAUUUGUAAUUUUAAUGAUUGAUAUAAUAUGUUUUCUCUUUUAACAGCGCCAAGAUAUCCAAAUCAAUUGAAUUUUGGUUAGAAAGUUCUUUAAACUAUUUAGAACAAGAUCUAUACUCUUGAUCUUGAUUACAAGACUUCUAUCAUCACUUUUUAAAGGAUAUUCAUUUUUAACCAUUGAUUUUUGUGUCCACUUGAUGGAUAAGAGAAUAAUAUCGAAAAAACAUAAAAUUUGGUUUCUAAAUGCUUCAAGUGGUAUAGAUCAUGUUCAACGGUGCCAAUCGUCAAUUUGGAGGCUCCAUCAUCGAAAACAAAUGGGUGGCAAUAAAGCCCGUUUACUAUCGAUAGCAUUCCAGCUCAACUCUCUCUCUCUCUCUCUCUCUCUCUCUCUCUAUAUAUAUAUAUAUAUAUAUAUAUAUAUAGAACUAGGCUACUAUGCUAUUAAUAGCACCAAGUCAUUGGUGCUAUCAAGUUUUUGGCUAUUAGAUUAAGAGAUGUGCGGUUAGAAUAAUGUGGGUCCCCUAGGGUUGAGUGGGUGGUUGGUUGAAUAGUGUGAUCUAACGGGUGAAAAUGAUCAAAAGAGUAGAUCUAACGGCAGAAAACUUGGUAGCAUCAAGUGCUUCAUACUAUUAAUAGCAUAGUAGCCGGAGGUCUCCGUUAAACUUGAUCUAGCCUAUUUGAAGUAUCUAGAAAAUAAAUUUUACGAUUUUUCGAUAUUAUUUAGCUAGCGAUCGAAAGUGUUCAAAAUCUAUAAUUUUUAAUGGUUGAUGUAUACUAUUUGCAAGUUAAACGGUGUAGAAGUAUUCAAAUCAGAUAAAAUUUUGAUAGAAAAUUUUUUAUACUAUUUACAGUAAGAUCAAUAUCUCUGAUCGAAAAUUUUAGUGCUAUAUCACCACUUUUUUUGAGAUUUUUAUUUUCAGCCGUUGAUUUUGAACCCUUUCGAUCGCUAGCUAAGUGCCUAAGUGAUAUCGAAAAAUCGCAAAAUUUAUUUUCUAAAUACUUCAAAUACGCUAGAUCAAAUUUAACGGAACUGAUCGACGAUUCAGAAGCUCCAUGAUCGAAAACGGCUUAGGAGCACGGAGGCAUCCGUGCUCCUAAUAGCACACAAGAUCUACUCUAUAUAUAUAUAUAUAUAUAAAUUUUGUUCUCAGUCAUGUAAGAAAUGCGCUGAAGAAAGUUUGACUUAUGUGCAUUGGCAUUAGUAACUUUCUGUUUUUGCCUAGAUAAUUGUUUCCUUUUCACUUUUUCCUUUUCUUUUUAACUUUCCUCUUAUAAAUCCAGCUCUGGGACAUAAACAUGGACUCUGGCCCUGUUGCUACUUUCUCUGUCCACGAGUAUUUAAGACCUAUGGUGAGUUGCUUUUGUAAACUGUUGUAUGCCCGUUUCCAUUUCCUACAACAGCCAACUUAUUAGGGUUAAUAACAAAUUUUAAUCCCUCAAAGUUUGAUCCCAAUUUCAACUAUGUGCUCAAGAGUUUAUGUUUCAACAAUUUAGUCCCUGAAGUCUGUUUCCAUGGGUAAUAACUCUUGGAUGUUUGUUAGCAAGGAAAAUUCCACAUCAAUGUCACCUGCUGUUGGGUCCGACCUCAAAUAGCUACCAUGUUGCCGAACUAUUGUUACGAUAGUGAUGUGGUAAUUUUUUUUAAGUUGGCAAACAAUGGUAAUAAGUAGGACUUGAUAGCUAAGCUUCAGGGACUGAAUCCUUAAAUUUGUAAUUACAAGGACAAUUAAGGACAUUGAUCUUAAAGUUCGAGAAAUAAAUUUGUGAUUAUUAUUUUAUAGAUAAAUUGUCUAUAAUAGUUCUGUUUUCCCCCAGCUACCUCAUCUGUAUGCAAGUGAGUGGAUAUUCGACAAAUUUAAUUGUUGUAUAAGUGGAGAUGGACUAAGAAUAGCAACCGGCUCUUACUGGUAUUUGUUUCUAUCUUGUCUGCUCAUGAAUUUAUCCCUCUUACCCUUGUAACGAUGUGUUUACAAUUUUCUGUGUUAUUAGCAAUCAAUUUCGCGUGUUUAGCUGUGCUGGGGAAAACUGCGAGGAGACUACAUUGGAAGCAAGUACAAAUCCAAUGAGGUAUGAUUGAUGAUAGUUUUAAGAAUGUCAAUUACCAAUGAGAAUUGGCAGUGAUAUGAAACAUCAAUCAGUCUAAAAUUUUGUAUUUAUCUGUUUUAACUUAUGAAAGAUUUUGCAUCCGUUUAUAGUUGCCAUGGAUGGAAACCUUUUGCAUACUGUUAAAUCAGCUUCUAUGUUGUGCACAUCACUUGGACUUUGAUUUUAUUACUUCAGGUUUUAUUAAAAAAUGCAGGAAACACCCUACGAGUAUAAUGAUAUAUUCACAUCCCCACUCCCCCUUUAACUUUUUGGCUAAAGCAUUUCAUCACGUCUUAAUUACUCCAGCGCAAAAAAUUGCAGCAAUUUCAAUGCUGCGCUUUACCACUGUAUCAAAUAGGUCCAAAAUGGGAAUGACCUUUGAAACACAUGCAAAACUUUCAUGGAAACAAAUUAUUGGAUAAUGGUGAUUAUAUCCAGUAGCUCUCAUAAAGAUCUCUUUUAUUUAAUUCUUAGAAACAUUAUACAAGUUUCAACUUAGUAUGUUCAGAUAUAGAAUUAAUGUGAUAUGCUGAACCACAACAUUGAAGUUUUGCACGAAUUUGAUGAUCAUCUCAAUUUUUUUAUUCUAUUUGACGUAGUUAUGAUCUGCAAGGCUAAAAUUGAUGUAGUGCUUUAUCCGUUGGGUAAUUGAGACACGGGCUAAAGUUGUGAAGGGUGCUAUUGUAGUUUAACCUUGAAUUUUUAAGAACUGCAAUAUAGCCUGUUGGUCUAUGAGCAAAGUGAUAAAUAUUACCUAGUGGUGACAUUAAGGAGGCAACUCAAGAACUUGUACUAAGGGUAAUAUAGCUAAGUUUCAAUAUUUCAGAUUGAAAAGCAGGAUUUACAACAUUAGAGGGGUUUACUGCUGUCUUACAAUAUUUUUUAUACCGUACCAGCUAAAAUUGAAAAGAUACUAGGCAUUGUAUAACUCAGUGCAAAUGAUGAUAACGCUCCUUAUAUUAUUUCAAGCUUCUAAAAAUUACUAUAUGAAAUAUUAUGGUAAUUGUAUACACUUUCCUAGCCUCUAAAAAAUUAGGGGCAAUUGCCUAUAUACUCCAAAAAAGUUUCCGACUUUUUGAUUUACCCCUCUUAGAAGGCUAAUAUUGAAAAUAUCCUUUUUACGUUCCAACCUAUUUCAAAUAUAUUCAUAGAGUUAAAUUCUGUUAAUGAACGGUUAGCAAUAGCGGUUAUCUAUAUGAAAUUACUAUUUUGCCCUUUCAAAUAUAUUCUUCUAUCAUCACGGACUUUUCUUAUUUGACCUUAAGGGGCAUAAAAAGUAUUUUGAUUUUUGUUCUUUUCAAAUAUACCCUUUUGCCAUCACCAACAUUUCUUAUUUGCCCUUAAGUUAAGGGCAAAGAAGUAUUUUGAUUUUUUUUAAAAAAAUUUUAGUAGAUAUUUAACUCACGUUUAACCCAAGUUAACUUAACGGUGAUAACUGUAGGGGCAUUUUGGAAUAACGGAGGAAUAUAUGAGGGGUAUAUUGGAAAGAAAAAAAGAAAGUAGGGGUAAUGAGAUAUUUUCGAAGUUUUGAGGGGUAUAUAGGCAAUUAUCCCAACAAAUUACUAUAUGAAAUAUUAUGGUAGUUAUAUAAACUUGUUAUUUUUUGGCUUUCAUCAUAUAGGAGUCGAGUCGGAAACCCUCCGGGGCCUUUGAGGUGGUUGAGCGAUUCAACACAUGUUGUCCAACCAGGUUAGUAUCUAGCUGUUAUAAUCUUCCGCAGGGUUUUACACAAGCAUUCAAGUGCCGUAAGCACGGGUAUUAUCCACCGUGCCAUAUAGUGCCGACAAGAUAUCAACAGGACAUGACUUAUGUGUCGAUGGCAUGGCUCAAAAUCUUUUUUUUUUUUUUUUGAAAUUAGCAAGUAGUUACUUGAAUAAAGUUCAAAAAUUAAUAAAGAUAUGUAAUAAGCAAUUAUAAUAUAUUAGUGCUAAAGAAAAUAAGUAUUUCAUGUCAUUAUGUGUCCGCACACGGAUAAUUUGUUCGGCACGCAUCGGCAUAGCAUGGCACGUACUGUGCUGUGCUGUACCAUCAAGUUUUCAGCACGAUUCUGUGUCAUGCCACUUAAAUCCUUGGUUUUACAUAUACAUCCCUUAAAUAUUAUCUAACUAAAUAUGUAUUUUUGUGGAAUUUGAGUUUCAUAUAUAUCUCUCGAAUGCUUAGCUUUUUGCAAAUAUACUUUUAUCUUAAAUUGGGAAGUCAUAGAAUUUGUGUGGUUUAUUAGAAAAGGGUUUUUUUUUUUCAAAGAAGGGAAUUUUUGUUAGUUCAAGGGUAUACUAGCAGAAAUAAAGCUUUUGUAGGGUAUAUAAGGGAAUCCAGAUUUUGCAGGAAUAUAUAGGCAAACGAAUAAUUUUGCAUGGUUAUAUAUAUUGAAAUUUCUAAAUAACAGCUUGUUGAUUGCAUUUUUUUAGUCAAUUAAAAUAAUGAAAAUGUUCUUCUGCAACGAAAUCUUCUUUUCAGGAUUAGAAAGCCCAGGGGCCGACACCAGUGAGAACUCAUAUGAAAAUUCAUAUGAGGACUCGCAUGAUUUUUCUAACAAGUUGCUCCAUUUAGCAUGGCACCCAACGGACAAUAUAAUCGCCUGCGCUGCUGCAUCUAGCUUGUACAUGUUCUCUGCUUAGAGUUGGCCUCGACAGAGAAAAUUAAGGAAAGUUUUUUUUUCCCCAUUUUCUUUUCUUUUUUCUGCUGGGAAAGCAUUUCAAAUUAUUUUUUCAUGCAACCUAGCAGAAAAGAUGCAGGGAGGGAAUGUCUUCAGUGCAGCACUUAUACCACCUAGCAUCUCCUGGGCCAAUGGGAACAUGGCUCGUUGGAUUAUCAAUGUCGAGUGAAAGGUAUUCUUGUGAUUUCUUUCAUUCUUUUGUUCUAUUGGCUUUGUGGAAUCUGUGGCAUAAGUGUUGCACUGAAGACCCUAUCAAAUGAUUGGGGUUUGUGUGUCCAGUAGUUUUUCUGAUAUUAUUAGGUGCUUGGUUCUGCACCUAUAGCAUGAAUUUUUAGGUUUGCGCAAGUUAUUCUUGCAUUGUAAUUAUUCAUCUCUUAUAUUCUUUUCUCUUUAGUAUUAUUCUUUUGCCUUCAAAAUAUGUUUUGUGUCCAAAAUUUACACAUUAAUUUGGUAAAUUUCUUUUGUUCUUUUGUUUACGACUAGUUUCACAACACAGUGCUGGCUUUUCUUUUUUGUUUUUUUUUUUUUGAGACUGGAUGCAGUUGAAAUGUAACUUAUAAAUCCAACACAAAAAUUAUUGUAUAAUAAGUUCAUAUUAUUUUAAUGCACUUGUUUGGUAUAGUUUUAUGGACAGAUUUGGAGUUUCUCAUACAGAAUUUUGGCAUUUCUUAAAUACAAUAUUCGAAGUUUCUGCUGCAGUGAGAAGCUGAUAUAAGCCUACAUUUAGAAGCUCCAGUUUUAAUUCCUUUAUUAUGCCAAAGAUAUGAUGUUUGUUUCGCUUUAAAUAAGGUUCCUGAACUUCUAGUUGGGUUUUACUUAGCUAGUCAAAUUUUCACUAGUGGUCAAGUUUUCACUAGUGCUUCAAUUUAGUCCUCAACAUCCAUUAUUGUUAGAAUAAAAAUUAUAGCAUGCCCUGGCAUAUAUGUGUUAUCUGUGCGUUGUAAAUUCAUUGAUCCUCUAUUUAUCUGGUACUUUUGAUUAAGCCCUCUUAACUUUUUUUAGUAGAAAAAAUGGUGCACUGUAUUAGGUGGUAGAGAUUGCAGGGUGCGUGGAUAUAUGAAUGCGUUAGUUGCAGAUGGAGUGUUUUUUGUUUUUCUUUCUCUUCUUCUUUCUUUUUUUUUUUUUUUCUUUUUUCCUGUAAUGGGUUGUAUUGUUAUCUGCCUUUGUACUUAUAAUUUUGAUGCAAAUGCGUGCAAGUAAAAGAAUAUAUAUAUGUAUAUAUAUAUAUAGUUGGUUUGUUGUAGUUAUAGUUAAAUAUUAUAUAUAGUUGGGUUUAUAGAUAAAGACUCAUAUUCCGCAUUUUGAUUUACAACCAAAAUUGGAACUAAUUGGAAAUACAGCAUUUGAUGAAAGUAAUUCUACACCAGGAUUAAUUUUAGACCCACUCAUCCCUCAGAAAUCAUUUGUAGAAAAAAAAUUAGUAAAAUUUCUCUUGUUAAAGAAUAACCUUACCACUUCGCAUGCAUUACUAAGAUAUGUGAAUAUAGUUUUUAACUGUGAAUUAAAUCAGUUCCAACACUCCUCUUUAGGGCAUGUUUGGUUGCCGUAAAAUAAUUUGGUUAUUUAGAUUAUAAAAAUAAAUAUGUAAGUGAUUUUUGAAAAGUGAAUCAUAAAGUAGAUUAUAACUAAAAUUCACUUUUUGACUUGAAGUUGUUGAAAGUGAAUCGUCUGCUCUACGCAACUUAACGCAACUUAUCGAAAAAUAUUUUUCUAUACUAUCUACAAAAAUGAAAAAUAAAAAAUAAAAAACUUCAUCAUAUCUUAACAAAAAAACCAACAUAUUUUUUUUAAAAAAAGCAAAAAAAUAGACGUACCUUAUUCCGUACCGUCUAAAAAAAAAACUCCCUAUCUUAAAAAAAUUAUUUUAUUUUCUUAUUUUUUUUAAUAUAGAACUAAAAAUAGAAGUCAUGUAUUUUUUUUCUUUUAUUUUUUUUGAAAUCAAAUACUUGGACUUAAAAGUGACUUUUAUAAAAGUUAAUUUUUAAAGAGUGACUUUUUUUUUUUUUUUCACUUCGAUCACUUACGGACAGCCAACCAUGUCUUUAUAUGGAUGUACAUCUUAUAUCUUAGAAUCAAAGAUUUAGAACUAUUUUUUAGUUAAAAAAAUUAAUAAGACUAAGAAAUAAAUUUUAGCUGUAUAAAAUUUAUGAUAUAAAUUCAUACCAUCGCUGUCAAUAACACAAGCCACUCAACUCUAUAUGAGAGUAAUAUUAUUUUUAUUGUAAAAUUUAAUAACAUUAUUAAUAAUUUGAUAUUAUUAAUAGCGUAGUGGGGUAACUGGGGAAACAAUGAAAAAAGUUUUGAGUGUGCAAUUAACACAAAUGUCUAAAUUCGGCGUCUUACGUAAUUCCUAAUUAUUAAUCAAACUCCGCGCCCUAAUCCCUCUCUCUUCCCCCUUUUAUAGCUCUCCUCAGCUCCUCUCUUUCUCGCUCCGCACAUAAACCCUAAUCCCUCCGCUCCCAAAAACCCUAGAAACCCUCAUCUCCGCCCCCGAAUCCCCGCGCGAGAUCACCCGAUAAUGGGGAGGCGAAAGGGCGGGAACAAGAGCCCCGCGUCGCUCUCCCAGAAGAGCAGCUCGAGCAACGGGCCGCCGGAGGAGGAGGAGGCGACGACGACGACGACGAUGAGCAUCGCCGGAGCCGAGGCGGCGGCGACGGAGGCGGAGACGGAGGUGGCGGAGGAGGCCAUGGACGAGAGGACGGGGAGCUCCAACUUGGAGGACUCGUCCGAGUACCCGGCGCUAAUCGGCGGCGACAAGACCAGCGCCGACUACUACUUCGACUCCUACUCCCACUUCGGUAUGUGCUCGUCGUUUAGCUCGGUAGAGCUCUUCGUGUUGUGUGUAAUCUCAUUUCCCCUUCGUUAUAAUUGCUUAUGUUGUGUUUUUAUCGCUCGUCUAGUCAUGGCCAUGCUUAAAGAUUCGAUCUUGGGCACUUUGUGGUGUUGUGCUUGUGCAUCACGCCUUAUUCUUAUAUGAUAUGAUAUGUGAUGCAUAGCCUUUGCAUUGAGUUCUCCUUCAUUAUGAUUUAAGCUCGCAUUCUCCUUCGGUAGAGUUGUUUAUGUUGUGUUUUAUCUCUCGUCUAGAGAUGCCAUGCUUAAAAAAUCAUUCUUGGCCACUUUUGUGGUGUUUUGCUUGUGUACCGGGCCUUAUUCUUAUAUAGGAUGCGUAACCUUUGCAUUGAGUUCUUUGGUUUUGGAUUUUGUUAUGAAUGAGCUAAUUUAGUUGUUUAUCAAGAUGUUAUUGUUUGUUGGUAUGGUGCUAAUGUGUUUUUGUUGGAUAAUUGUGUAUAAGAUGUGGAAAUCUCCUUUAUGUAGUUUGGGUGUGCAUUAGUUUUUUGUUUAUUUUGAAUUGGAAUGGAAGUAACUGUCUGUGACUUUUGCACACCCCUUUUUUGAUCUUCUUGGCGAAGUCUCCUUUUCUUUUUAUAAAUUUGUUGCUAAUGGUCAUGUAAUUUGCCUCUAUCAUCUAGUUCUCAUUAGCAUGUUAAAUUAAUGGUUUUUCAUGUGGUUAUAUUAUUAAGCAAUCUUACAUGCUUGUUUCUUUUUUAUUUGCAGGCAUUCAUGAAGUAAGUUCCUAUCAACUUUCAGGAGAUGUAGCUGGUAGUUAUGGUUGGUAAAUAGUGAACCUCCAUGGAACCUCCAUGGAGUGUUAAACAUGACCAGGAAGUCAAUGUUUCUUAUCUUGUCUCAGCUAAUUGGUGCAAAGCUUGGUGAUGAAACGUGAUCCAGGUUUAUUGGAAUUAGGAUCAGUUAAGCAUUUUUAGGAGAUCAUGAUGGAUUAGCUGUACAGUUAUGAAGAUGCUUUUUCUUGUUUCCUCGUUUCGCCUUUUCUUUUGUCUUCUGUAUUGCUUGUUAAAAGUUUUAGUUCACAUGGAUGUGUAAAUUAACUGGAUUUUCCCAACUGGCUAUGCAUGCUCUUAUUUGCUCAUUGGAUGAUAGUUUGCUCUCUUGGUCCUUUUCUUGUCAAACAUCUCGCGCAUCUGAUAAUAGGAGGUUGUAUAACUCUAUAUGAUCCUUAAAAUUGCAGUCUCUACUUGUGUUCCCAUUGGCCUCUUGUGCAUGCAUGCUUGCUUUUUCUCAUAAGUUAGCUUGCUUGCUUUUCUAUGUUCUUGCAGGAUCUCUCUAUAUAGUCUGAAUUACAGUUUGUGAGAAAAUAAGCUUUUUCUUUCCAAUCUGAAUAUAGGUGUUUGAUGACUUUGCACUGUCAUGUGGUAUUAUUUGCUUCAUAGAUCUGUCAUCUAGGAAGCCAAAUUCAGCAAGCCUUUGAAUUGUCUUUCAUCAAAGUCUCAAACCAGAUCUUUACGAUAACUUCUGAGAAUGUUGUUGAGGGUUUUUUUUUUUUCCAUAAGUUUUUUAAUCAGAAAACUCUGAAUUUAUAUCCCAAAAAUUCUUGCGUAUUGUCUCCACCUUGCAGGAAAUGUUGAAAGAUGUUGUUAGAACAAAGACAUAUCAAAAUGUCAUCUACCAGAAUAGCUUUCUAUUCAAGAACAAGGUGGUCCUUGACGUAGGUGCAGGGACGGGAAUCCUCUCUCUUUUUUGUGCAAAAGCUGGAGCAAAACAUGUUUAUGCGGUAGGUCUCUUUUGUUUUUUUUUCCUUUUGGUUCUGAACUGCAGAGUUUUUUCCAUUCUGUCUCCUAAGUUAUGAUAUGCUCUCUAGAUCUUCAACUCAUAUAUUUUAUAUAAAUAAUUUGUUCAUCUUACUUUGAAGUAGAUCUAAUCAGUGAGCUUAAUACUGAUCUACAGAUAGAGUGCUCUCAAAUGGCUGACAUGGCAAAGGAGAUUGUUCAAGCAAAUGGGUUUUCUAAUGGUGAUUACAUACCCUUUAUCUCUCACAGGAUAAUGUUAAAGUACCGUCGAAUUCUUUUGCAAUAAGUGUUUUGUCUGUUGUGCAGUCAUAACGGUUCUGAAAGGAAAGGUUGAAGAGAUCGACCUUCCGGUCGCGCAUGUAGAUGUGAUCAUCUCCGAGUGGAUGGGCUAUUUCCUGCUGUUUGAGAAUAUGUUGAACACAGUUCUGUAUGCACGCGAUAAAUGGCUUGUAAGUUAUUCUUCAUGAUACAUCUACAUAGGAAUUCCUUGUCUAGUGCUAUACUGCUAUUUGUUGUCUCUCCAUUGUAUUGUUUAGAAGAUUUAACCAGCUAAUAUUUACAUUUAUAAAUAGGAAAGAAUCAGGUGUGCUAUACUGCUAUUUUUUUAUGUCAUGAUUACGCUACAGAGGAUAUACUAGAAGAAAUCAACCAUUAGAGUAAAAUGAGGUAGAUAUGUUCAAAGAGGUCCAUAUCAAGGAUUAAAGUGCCCAUCGGCACAAGCUGUAUCCAUCGUGCCGUAUCGUGCUAGCAAGAUAUCGGCACAGUACGGCCCCUGUGCCAAUGGCACAACUCAAAACCCUUUAUUCUUGAAAUUAGUAGGUAAUUUUCUCAAUAAAGUUCAAAAGAUUUGAUAAAAAUAUAUAAUAAAUAAUUGGUAUAUUUUGUUGCUAAAGAAAAUAAAUAUUUCAUGCUAUUACGUGUCGGCACACAUAUAUUUUGUGUCCGGCACUCAUCGGCACGGUGCCGGCAAGUUACCGGCACGACCCCAUGCCACGGCACUUAAAUCCUUGGUCCAUGUACUUCUCUAGCCGCCCUGCAUGAUAGAGCUCAAUUAUGCUUUGAAGUUUACUUUAAUGAUUGAAACCACCUUUUUACCAUAAAUAGAUAGUGAUGUCUGUGUUUUUGUAUGUAUUUUGAUGACCAUAUAUAACUUAUUUAUAUUUAAAAAUAGAUUGUAAAAUAGAACCGUAAAAGGUUGAUUGAAAAUUGAUUAAUAUCACCUGUUUUCUGGUAUAGUAAAUUAUUAUGCACCAAGUGCACAUUAAGUCGUAAUAUGAGACCAAGGACUACACAUUUUAUGAAGUGAUGUAUACAACAUGCCAAUUUUUAGUUCUCUUUUUUCUAGUUAUAGGAAUCGGAAUUUCGAGCUCUUUUAAUUGUAUUGAUCUGCUCCAGUAUUGACUUGGUGUCUUGUGGGUUCAUAUUGGUCUUGCGUGAGUCCUGAAUGCAAUUUGAGUCCGCUUUGUUUCUGGCUCUGAAGAAAAUAACAUUUCUUUUUCUUUUUCUCUUGUAGGUUAAUGGCGGAGUUGUCUUACCAGACAAAGCUUCCCUAUAUCUAACUGCAAUUGAGGAUGCUGAAUACAAAGAAGACAAAAUUGAGUGUAAGCAUAUUGGUCACUCAUUUUUCCUCUCAUUUCUGGGGACGGUGACAUUAUUUCUCCCGCCUUGCUAUUGCCGAAGAACCUAUUAGAUACUUGUUUAACCUGAGUUGUGUAAUAAUUUCCCUAUUCGGAGUAGUAGUUAAGCAUUUGACAAAUAAAAAAACCUGCAGCUUUUGCUGUGACGUGAAGCUUAAAUGAGAUUCUAAGCUCCAAAAACAGAAGAGCCAAUAUGAAGCUUCUGACAGGUUGUCCACAGUGGAAAGCUGUCGGUGUUUCUACAAACAGCUCUACUUGAGCAGCAGUCCUAUAGUAGCUUUAGCCAGGCCAAACAGGCCCUAAGUUCCUAUGUCGUUGUGCUCCACAUUGUUGUUGACAACAUUAUUCAUCUCUUUGUAGUCUGGAAUAGUGUAUAUGGCUUCGACAUGAGCUGCAUCAGAAAACAAGCCGUGAUGGAACCACUUGUAGAUACUGUAGACCAGAAUCAAAUAGUCACCAACUGUCAACUUCUUAAGGUGAAUCAACUAUCUUCCUUUAUUUUUCCUUCAUUUAUUCCUUUUGUUAUAAUUAAUGCUAGCUUUUUUUGAAAAAUUUAUAGACAAUGGAUAUUUCGAGAAUGGCUCCUGGCGAUGCCUCUUUCACCGCACCAUUUAAGCUUGUGGCUGAGCAAAAUGAUUAUAUCCACGCUCUUGUGGCAUACUUCGAUGUCUCUUUCACCAAAUGCCAUAAGUUGAUGGGGUUCUCAACAGGUUCUUAACAACCCAUUCUUUGUCGAUGGUUAAACCUCUUUUUAUCUUAAAAAGCUCUUAUGACUAGCUGUUGUAUAUUCUAUUUCGAGGACUUCUAUCUUGCAUGAAGGCUUGAAUCAUUAGACAUGCAUAUUGAACACUAACAGUUUGAUCACAAUAUAUAUAGUUACAUAUUCAUGUUUUAUGAUAUGAUAUCGCUCCUUUGCAUUUCUAGCUUAGAUUCAAUGGACUGAUCUUCCGUAGGUCUCAUUUGCUUGUAUUCAUAAUUCGUAUCUUUUUUAUAGGACUAAUUCAUUCACUCUUUGUUUAGUUUUGCAAUUUUGUAUCUUUUUUUUGGGGGGUGGUAUCUGGACUCCUUUAUCUUCUGAAAUUGCCUCUGGCCCUCCGUUAUGAUAAAUGAAUGCUUCAGGGACUUCAGCCAAGGGCAUUUUGAUCCACAAAAUAGAAUACUGAUUUCAAAGUAGUAAAAAUUGAGAAACAAGUGGAUCUCUUUUGAAAUAUAGCCCCCCUAUUAUUCAACUUGUGAUUCUUCAUGGUACUUGAUCUCAUGGGAAUCAAAUUCGAUCCAAAGCUUAUUUAUUACUAUAACCUUGCAUCAAUUGGAAUAUUUUUCUGAAGCAUUGUAUUAGAAUCCUUGCUUGGAAUUUGACGAAAUUGGUUAUUCUUUUUACAACAGGGCCGAGGUCGAAGACUACUCAUUGGAAGCAAACUGUUCUCUACCUUGAGGAUGUUCUACCCAUCUGCAAGGGAGAAGCAUUGAUUGGGAGCAUGACCGUCGAGCCCAACAAGAAGAAUCCUCGCGACGUGGAGAUAAUGCUCAAAUACUCCCUAAAUGGGCAGCAUUGCCAGGUCUCAAGAACUCAGUAUUAUAAAAUGCGGUGACUGAUCAGGUACACUUUCCUGCCUUAAAAAAAGGUAGAUUGCGAUUAUUAUACCGUGCUUUCUUGGUUAAUGCAUUCAUUCCAACUUAACUUUUUGCACUUUGGAUGGUAUUUAUUGUUUGGCCCCAAAAAGGUGCUUCAAUGUUUGAAUCACACUGAUUGUAAUGCUUGUUUCCCCUUCUUCAAUCUAUAUGCUGUAGCUUGUUAUGUUUUAGAAAUAUUUCCAUGAUAGCUUGUGAAAAUACCAUUUUAUCAAUUGAAACUUAAAAUGGGUGAAUAUUCAUAGAAGCAAGCAGAAAUUGGAGCUACAGAGCAUUUGUGAUCUUGGGAAUCUACAUUAUGAUUGAUUGUGGUAUCACAAGAACAUUAAUUCAAGUUUUUUUCUUUUUUACUUUGUAUUUGGUUAAACUAGCUAAAGAUUAUGAUCUGAUACGUUAUCCGAAGAAAAAGCUGAAGAAUUGUUUUACUAUAUUCCUCUCGCGGGAAAUUGAAUAAUCUAGGGUUAGGGCACUCAUUCUCCAUGCAAAGGGAGAUGAACAGUGCAAUUUUUCUCUGGAGUUUUUUUCAUCUAAUUUUGAAAAAAAUAAAGCUUAGUUUAUCACUAUGCACAGUAUGAGAAAUAUUUGGUAAAAUCCCUCUCCUCACCUGUAUGCCCUUUUUUUGGAAAUAAACAGGGAAGGUGGAAAUAUUAAAAUAAUCACAUUAGUGGCGAAUUCUUCCUGGUUAUUAUCCUUCUUUUUUAUUUCAAUAUUCUCAAUAUUUUACUAGGCAUUCUUUAGUAUGUGGCCCAUUCCAAAAAUAAUCACAUUAUUUCAGCUUUCAUCUUUAUAUAAAAACUUAAAAUUAGUCAAAACCUGUGUAUUUUAAACUUAGCUGUGAUCACUUCGGUGCCUGUUUGCUUCAUUAACAUUCUAAAUUAUUCCCGCUACUACGAGGAACCAAAUCAUGGAUUUAGAAUAGGAAAUACUCUUAGAACUGGCUAUAUAGCGAGAGCUGAAAAUUAUUUUUCAGUGUAGUUCUAAUUUGAUUUUUUUUUUUUUAAUUUAUGUUGAUCAGAUUAAAUUAAUCUGAUUGUUUUUUUCCUGUCAAAAAUAAAUCUAUUUAUAUUGCUUUGUCACUAAAAGAGAGGGAAAAAGAAACUUGGGCUUUUUCUGCAUUUAGUCCCCAGGAAAAUUUUUAUUUUAAAAAUAGUCCUGUCAAAUUUUAAUUUACAAAAAUAGUCCUGCCCUGUCACGCAGGCGUCAUGUCAGAGCCACGUAGGCAACGCUGGGGUCAGUAUGUUAAGUUGAAUACGAUGGUUCACCGUGUUUGAGCACGGUGAACAGUUUACCGUGUCCAAUGUGUUAUACACGCGACUUCGACUUGGCUUGGACUUGCAGUAAGUCUAAGCCAGAGGGAGAGAGCCCGUGGGAACCAUUCAUCGUGUCUUAAAUAUGGGGAAUUCACUGUGUCUUAAACACGGUGAAUGAUUCAGCGUGCCUAGACACGGUGAACCAUUCAUCGUAUUCAGUAGUACUACCAGCACUUAGAAAACAAUACAAUAUCACAAUAUAACAAUAAAUUCAAUAUCACAAUAUAACAAUAUAACAAUAAAUUCAAUACAACAAUACAAGUAAUUCAACAUUAACAAUACAACAACAGAAUCCAAUAUCACAAUAUAACAAUAAAUUCAAUACAACAAUACAAGUAAUUCAACAUUAACAAUACAACAACAAAUCCAACAGAAUAUCAAUAAAGUAUCAAUACCAGAUCAUCACAACAGAAUAUCAAAAAUUAAAACAUGUUUUUUAAUAAUAUAGAAAUAUAAUAUCAUGUCCGUGAUCACGAUCAACAUCAUGCUCAUCAACCACGUCGUCUACCACGUCCGUGAUCACGAUCAACAUCAUGCUCAUCAAAAGGCUCUAACACCUUCGACUACCCUCAAUAACCUGCUGAGUGUCCUGCGUCUCAAUCACUCGUCCGAUCUCGUGCUCAAUUAUAGCAGAAGAAGCUGAAGAGGAGGGUUGAUCUGUAUGGAGAGAGUGCAUCUGUCGUCGGCGCUUAUGAUAAACAAUAUCAACUGGCCGAGGUGGAUCGUGGAUCCUCUGAUACUGGUGUUGAUACCGUGUCCAUAACAUAAGGUGGCUCCUCUAUCGGUGAUGAUGCCUCGGUGGACUAUAUACUGGUACAUGUCCCGACGUCGAUGGUCCAUCAUAGUCUGCCGGUCGUGGAUGUACAGUGUGUGGAAGCGUAGAUAAAGUCUCCAAAACUGCUUCCAUCCGAUCGGCAACGUGUGAUAGGGCAUCUAAUACUCCACCUCCUGGAAUAUCUGACAGGACACGUCUAAUCGUAUAAUGUGAUCUCUGCACGAUAUCGACUUGAAAUAAAAGCACUAUCAUAAAAAUUAUACGAAACUUUUUUGUAUAUAUAAAAAUUAAAGAAAAAAAUAUUAUAUAUUAAAAUCAUACCAAUACUCUCUCGACGUAACCACGUGGCUGAUACGCGAGGGGUGGCCUCUGUACUGGCCUAAAUAUCUACCUCCUGGUGAUCCUCCAAUAUCACUGCAUAUAAACAAUAAUAGCUCGUAUAGGAUCUGGAUCUACCUCAUGGUCCAUCUCUGCUAUAUCCACCAAUUUAUCAUCUCAACGCUAAAUAUAUGAAGUAUGGUAUGCCGCACAAUUCUCAUCUACUCUACCUCAUGAAGUGAUGCGAGAUAUGACAAGCACUGCUUCACCGUAUUUAGACAUGAUGAACCAUUCACCGUAUAUAGACACGGUGAAUUGUUCACCGUGUUCAACUUAACACACUAGCCCUAGCCCAGUCCGCGUGGCGCUGACGUGGCGCCUGCGUGGCAGGGCCAGAACCAUUUUUGUAAAUUAAAAUUUGACAGAAUUAUUUUUAAAAUAUAAAUUUUUCAGGGGGCUAAAUGUAAAAAACGCUCGAGAAACUUUGAUUAUGCAUAUGAGACUAAGGAGCUGUGUGGUUCAAGGGCUGUAAAAUUUCAAAAAUAUUAUAUAUAUUAUAUUUAGAAAGGUUUUGACUGAAAGGCGGUUAAAAUUUAGACCAACUAAUAAUUUUCAUAAAAUAUAAAAGGCCUUUUUUAAUAAAAAAUUCACUAAUUUUGGGCUUUUGCAAAGUUGGGUCAUCUUUUUUGAUUUCGCAGAUUCAGUUCGAAUUUUUAGCAAACUGACCAAAAUACCCUUAUUAUUUUUUCUCUUUUUUUUUUUUCUCUCGUUCUUUUUUUCUCUCUCUGAAGAAGGCGGAGAUUGAAACAGCUCGCCUCGUCUCUGCCCCGCACGCCCUUGCCCUCGCCCUUUGCGCCUCCGACCCUACUAAAACCGUGUCGCGACCCUCCUCCACUAGGAUACGACGACGUCGAGCUGCAGGCUUUUCUCCUCCACCGCGCGUCGGAACGCCGCGACGUCGUCGGAGGCGGCGAGCUCACCUCCGACGACGUCGCGGUGGUUGCGAGGCCAGUGCGCGCCCGCAGCCCCAGCGACACGCGCAGCUUCGCCGCCGGAGACGACGAGUAGAGGAGGAUGAGGAGAGUGAUGGUGAGGUGGGGGAGGGGAUGGAGAUGCGGACGGUGGAGAUGCUGCGGCGACGGCAGGAGGGUGACCAGCAUCCGCGGUGAACCCGAUGGGUUCGGGCAUGGGCAUGGGCAUGGGGAUGAGGGCGCAGGUGACGGAGCAAGAAGAAGAGAGAGAAAAAAGAAAAAGAAAAAAAAAGUGUAAAAUUCGCUUAAAGAGUGUAAAAGUCAUUUCAAAAGAAUAUAAUUUUUAAAUCAAAUAGUGCAACUUUUAUUAAAACAGUACAAAUUUUUUUAAAACAGCGUAAUUUUAUUUUAAUAGUGCAAUUUUAUCUUAUUUCUUCUUCUAUAUUUUUUGAUCUUUUUUGUAGAAUUUUUUUUUACUUUUAUUUUUUCUCUUUAUAUAUAUAUAUUUUGUCACCAUCUCUCUCUUGCUCUUUAUUGCAACUACCGUGACGUCGUCGAAGGUCGUCGGAAGUGAGCUUCGACGACGUCGCGGCGGAGGAGAAGAGCCUGCGGCUCGACGUCGCCGUGCCCUAUUGGAGGAGGGUCGAGGCAUGACUUCAGUAGGGUCGGAGGCGAGAAGAGCGAGGCUGUGCGGGGCAGAGGCGAGGCGGGCUGUUUCCGCCUGUGCCUGCGCCUUCGCUGCCUUCUUUGGAGAGAGAAAAAAAGAACGAGAGAAAAAAAAAAAAGAGGAGAGAAAAAAUAACAAGGGUAUUUUUAUGAGUUUGCUAAAAAUUCGAACCGAAUCUGCAAAGUCGAAAAAUGUGACUAAAAAUUCGGACUGAAUCUGCAAAAUCGGAAAAUGUGACCCAACUUUGCAAAAGCCCAAAAUUAGUAAAUUUUUUAUGCAAAAAGGCCAAUAUAAAAAUAUGAAAAUAAAAUCUCUCAAUUUAUAAUAAUCUAAUAUUCUUACUCUUUAAAAAUUUAUAAUGAUUUCACUACUUCAUUAAUAUUUUUUACAAUUACUUAACUUAGGCUAAAUAAUGAUAAUUUUAAUAUUUUUAAUUUAAAAAUAUGAAGAAUUAUCAAGGUAUAUUUAAAUUAAAAUUCCGUCAAAAUCGUGCAUAGAAGAAUUUUGAUUGGAAAUUAUUUUUGUUUAAAGCAUUUGUUGCCGAAAAGAUUUUAUUCUCAAAACGUGGUUUCAAAAUGAUAUUAGCCUUUUUGCAUAAAAUAUUUAUUGAUUGACUUUUGAGAAUUUUACAGUUUCGAUCCAAUUUUUUAAAACAAUGGUCAAAUUUCUCCUCUUUCAAAAUGCAUAAAAAAUAUACGCAUUAAAUACUUUGAAAAAUACAACUCACAAGUAAUUAUUGCAGGUUAUUCUUUUCUUAAGAAAUGAAAUUUUUGUCUAACCUAUAAAUAAUAACUUAAAAAACAAGAAAGAAGAUCACUUAAAUAGUGCAGAAUCUUUUCAAAUUUUACAUUAUUUUUUUAAAAUAAUAUUUAUAUAAAUAGUGUAAUAUUUGCACAUUAAUAAAAAAAAAGAAAAGAAGAUCACUUAAAUCGUGCAGAAGCUUAUCAAAUUUUACAUCAUUUUUUUUAAAUAGUAUAAUAAUAUUUGCAUAAAUAAUGUAAUAUUUGCAUAAUUUAUUUAAUGUUGCAUAAAUUUUACACUAAAUUACAAAUAAUAUAGUAUAUUACAUAAAAUAGUAUAAAUAUAUACAAUAUAUUAUAAAAAUUAUGCAUUACGUGUAUAAAUAGUAUAUAUUUAUACUAUUUGUAUAAAUAUUUACAUCAUUUAUAUAAAUAUUGCACUAUUAGAAGAGAAUAUUAUACCAUUCAAAUGAAUAUAUUACAUUCAUUAUUUAAAAAAUUAAAUUACAUGUAUAUUAAAUAGUGUCAAUUUUUUUAAAAAUGAUAAAAACUAAUUAUGAUUAUAUGUAUCUUAAUAAAAUUUUUAUUUAAGAUAUAAAAAAUAUAAUUAGUAAGAUGAUAUAGUACAAUGUACUCCCACGUUGUGCAAAAUUUUCUUUCAAAUAGUACCGAAGUAUACUAAUUAUAUAUAAUAUACUAUAUUAUUAUAUGUAAUAUUCGUAAUAUACUAACUAUAUUCCAAAUUGUGCAACAUUGUAUAAUUAUAUGUAAUAUACUAAUUAUAGAUAAUAUACUAUAUUAUUCAUAAUUUAAUAUAAAAAUUAUAUAAUAUUAUAUAAAUUGUGCAAUUGCACAAUUCAAAAAAACUAUUGUAUUAUUUAAGAGAUAUUACACUCUUUCAUUUUAUUAAUUAUAUUAUAUUUUUUUCAUUUUAUGUGAAAUAAAAAUUUUCGAAAGGUUCAUACAACUAUGACUUAGCAAUUAGUAUUUUCAAAAAAUUUACCACUUUAUUUAAUAUACAAUAUAAUUUAAUUUAUAAAAAAAGUGCAAUAUAUUUAUCUAAAUAGCGCAAUAUUCUCUCCUAAUAGUACAAUUUUUACAUACGUUAAUAUUACACAUAUAGUGUAAUGCUACAUUGUUUAUACUCACAUUGUAUAAUUUUUAUAAUAUAUUAUAAUAUACAAUAUAUAUAAUAUAUUAUAUUAUUCAUAAUUUAGCGUAAAAAAUAAACAAUAUUAUAUAAAUUACGCAAAUAUUAUACUAUUUAUACAAUCGAUGAUGAGUUGAUGACUAGGAUUACGAACCCACAACAAUGCAGCGUUUCCAUGUUGGUAAUUCAAUCUCACCACAGGCUUCAUCGAUUGCCUAACAAUACCAAGGGCAUGUUUGGUUCACCUCUUUUUAACUCUAGAAUCAAAAUCGAAAUGGACGAAUCAAUUUGUAAGUAUUUGGUAUGUAAGAUUCUUAUUCUGAUUCCGAUUUCCGGGUAAAUGAAAAUCUCCCAAUUAUCCUUUUUUCAAUUUGGCCUUAUAGGACAGAUUGAAAGUUGAAUCCAGAUAGAAUAAAUAUUUAUUUGGAUUAAGUUUAAUUUUUUAAUCUUAUUUUUUUAAUUAAAAUAUAAGUUUAAAUUUAAAAAUUAUAUAUAUAAAUUUUAAUUUUAAUUUGAACUUUGAAUUAAAAAUUAAAAUUUAAUCAAGAAUUUUGAAUCUAAUUUAUAAAUUAAAAUUAAAAUUAAAAUUUAAUUUAAAAUUUAAAAUUUUAUUCAAAUUUUAUUUAAAAUUUAGAUUAAAUGUUAUGGAUUCAAAUUGAAAUUGAAAUUGUAAUAAGUUUGAAUUUAAAUAAAUAAAAAUUUAUUUUUAUAUUUUGAAUUAUCCACUCAAUUUCAAAUUUUAAUAUUUUUAAAAAAUAUAUUUAAAAUUUUUGACAUUAUUUAAAAUUUUGAUGCAAUUUUUUUAAUAUUUAAUUUUUAGUUUCAAUUUAAAUUAUAAAAUUUUAUGUUUUAAGUUGCGAACUUAACUUUAAAUUAUCUUGUCAAUCCAAAUUUGCAUGGAUCUAGCAUAAAUAUUUUAAAAUUUAUUUUAUUUACAGUAUCAUUAUCUUACUUUUUAGUAAUUAUUUUUCCAAAUGGUCAUUUAUAUUUUAAAUAAAGUAUUCAAAAUGGUUCCAAGUAAUUAAAAUGUAUUAUAAAAAUAAAAUUGGUAUUAAUUUGAUUUCGAUUCUGAUAUCCACCUGAACCAAACUCUGAUGCUGAGAAUGAUUUAUUUCGAUUCUGAUUUAGGUGUUGAACCAGACAGAUUAAAACAAUGAGCCAUUCCGAUUACGAUUUUAACUCAUUCUCAUUCCAAUGUUGAUUCCGACUUUGAACCAAACGCACCCUAAAUAUGUAGUAACAAAGCUAUGAAAGAAAAAGAAAGCUAUAUUAUUAGAGUCCAGCUACUAUACUCUUAUGAAUAUAAACUCUUCUGUACUUAUAAAUUUUUGGUCGUUAGAUUUACCAUUUUGAUCAUUUCUACUUAUUAUUAGAUUAUAUUAUUCUACCAACCACCUACUCAACCCUAGGAGACCAGCACAUACCUCCAUUUAACCGUCGAAAACUUAUAAGUAUAAAGAAAUUUAUACUAAUAAGAGUAUAGUAGCCCUAGCCAUAUUAUUAUUAUUGACGAUAAAGAGAGGAGCAAGGAUACACCCAUAAAGAGCAAAGCAGCUUUGUCCAUGAGCUGAAUUGGUGCAAGUAUGUCCGACUUACUUGUUUCGAAGAUGCAGCCAUUCAUCACCAUCUCCUCCAGCAUGAAAUGCAUCUUAUCAAGAUUGAACAUGAUUUUGAGAUAGUUUAGAAAGAAAGAGGAAUCAGGUUAGAUCCGAACAUGAAAAAUAGAAGGGCAAAAGAAGGGCAUUUCGUUUGAUCUUGGACCGAAAGAACGGAGUUGUCGAGAAACUCACCACAUUUCUGUAAUGUCGAUCCAUGGUCUCCACAUAGAUAUGUAUGAACUCCAAAAUCGCUAGCUCAUUCUAAGCUCAUUCUAAGAAUUUCAACAACAACAAAAAAAAAAGAACGAAAAGGAAAGCAACUCUAAUAGCAAUUAUUUGUAAAUAAGCUGCCAUACAAUUUGAUCAUACAAGAAGAGCGAGCUAUAAUACAACACUAAUUAAUUUAACUUUGACAACUAGAGAAGCCGUCAACCAAAUCUUUAUAUAUGUAUGUAUAUAUAUAGAGAGAGAGAAUUGAGCUGGAAUACUAUCGAUGGCAAACGGAUUCCAUUGCGACCGAUUUGUUUUCGAUGAUCGAGCCUCCAAAUCGACGAUCGACACCGUUGAACAUGAUCUAUACUACUUGAAGCAUCUAGAAAUCAAAUUUCAUACUUUUGUAAAGUAUAUGAAAAAAGUGCUUGGUACUAUCGCUAGCAUAGUAGCCGAACUCUCUAUAUAUAUAGAACUAGGCUAUUAUACUAUUAAUAAUACUAAGUCAUUGGUGCUAUUAGGUUUUCGGUCCUUGGAUGAAGAAAUAUGCGAUUAGGAUGAUAGUGAAAAUGGUCAAAGAGGUAGAUCUAACGGCGGAAAACUCGAUAACACUAAGCGCUUGGUACUAUCGACAGUAUAGAAGUUGUACUCUCUCUCUCUCUCUCUCUCUCUCUCUCUCUCUCUCUAUGCAUGUAUGUAUGCGCGCACACACACACGCUACAAAGCAAAUAUGUUUGGUAGAUUUUCCUCACCUCUUGUUUCGUAGGAAGGACAAUUUAGUAAAUUAGAUUAACAGUUUUAUGAAAUUUAUGCCAAACUAUUCAUAUGCCCUAUCAAUAUAUCAAUUUAUAGCUAUAUCUAAAUCUGUCUAUACUGAAUAGAAAGCAAUAUGUUUGAUGAAUUUUCCUAACCUCUUAUUUGGUAAGAAAGGCAAUUUAAUAAAAUUAACUUUAAGUAUUAUAAAAUUUAUUUCAAACACUUCAUAUACCCCCUCUUCAAUAAAUUAAAUUUGCAUAUUAAGUAAGAAAAUAUAAUCUUUAAACUUUUUCAUAGACUCUAAUAAAUAUAAUUAAGAGAAUCCUAAAGUUAAACUUUUUUCAUAUACUUUACAAAUAAAUAUAAUUUAUGUAAAUCAAAAUUUACCUUUGUGACCUUUCAUAUAUUCUAUUGAUAAAUACAAACAUUUUCACAUUAAAUAAACUUAUUUUAAAACUUCUCGCGCACUUUUCAUAUCAAAUUAGGGGUGAUCAACAGUAUGUUUGGUUUGUGAUUUUUUUAAAAACCGAAUUAAAAUGAAUAAUUGAACCGAACUGCCAAAAGAAUUCAGUUAGUUCGGUUCGGCUGAAAUUCUCUAAUUAUUUAAUUAGAGAUUGAGAUUAAUAUAUCUAUUGGAUUUAAAAAUUAAUUUAUUUGGUUUUUUCAGUUUUCAACCUCCAAAAAGCGAACUGAACUAAAUUAUAUUUAAAAUCGAUCAGACCAACUGAAAUGGGUCAUUUUGGUUCAAUAACUUAAUUUAAACCAAAGAGUAUUCACCCUAUAUUAAGUAAUUUCUUUUAUGAAAUAUAAACAUAUGUUACAAAUUAUCUUUGAUUUAACUAGAAUAAAAUGACUGAAAUAAUACAAAAAAGCUAUGAAAAUUAAAUUACGUGAUCCAUAAUUUAUAUUAUGGUUUAUGGAUUAUAAAGCAUGUCACCAGUAUGCCGUAUAAACAAUAGAUUUAUUAACUUUCUUUAUUAAUUAUUCCCGUGCAACAUAUAAUCUUAUAACUAAAUAAACUGAAAUAUACUACAAAAAAAUUAGCACAUAGAAAGACUAGUAAUUUUUAUAAAACAUGAAAAAGACAGCAUUGUGGAGUGUUGUGCAAUAUGAAAGAGAAUAUGCUUGCUCCAAGAUUGUUAACGCAGGUUUGUUUGGUAAGGAAAUAAUUCUUGCACUUUGAGAAGUGCUGUUCUAAACCUAGAUAGGUUGAGAAUGAAGAGAUGCCCAAUCAUAUUCUCUUUCAUUCCCUUGAGCUUUUAUUUGACUUAAAAGUUUUCAACCAGACAACCAUAAGAGCAGAUAGUGAGUAAGACAGUCAAAUCCAAUCACGCAUCUUAGCGAAGGAUGUUAACAUCUAAGUAGCACACUAGUGUAAGCGACUUAAUGAAUCUUGGUCAUGUCAUCCAAAACACUGAGAUGUUCAACUAUAAAAACUCAUGUCAGCCUUCCAUAACUAGCUGCAUUUCUUACAAUUGCAGUCCAACUAAAUCAUCUCACAGAAAAACUUCAUUUUUAUUAGAGACUUUUAAUUAAAUAAAAAAGCAGCAUACACCAAUGUCACUGAUGUCACUGAUGGCACAAAUAGAUCAGGGCAUAGCUAAAGUUAUAAUAUGUUAGAUGCUCAAUGUCCAAAUAAAGUUCUGUCAGCUAUAACCACAAUAAAACUAGUUCACGAAUCUAGGAUAAGAGAAUCAUCUUAAGUUUGUCAAGUUUGUGAGGACCAUGGUUCAUUGUGUUAGAUAAUUAAUAGGAAAAAAUACCAACAAGAAGUGCGCUAAAGAGAAUAGAAUGAUGUACCUCAUCAUCGUCAACCGAGACUACAAAAAAAGCAAAGAAUAGCACCUGUACACUAUUUUAUAGUUCCGAUGCUCGACAAAAGAACACUGCAUUUCAAAACAGAUAUAAAAUUCAAUGAAAAUGAGAGGAAAAAUAAUACAUACAAUACAUCAGUAAAUUGGUGCCAGUGAAUGCAUUGAAAUGCCAAUGCGCAGUUCAUUCAAAAUUAUCAAAACCACCAUUGUGUGGCAUUAUAGACCAUAGCACGUAUUCCAUCACCAUGAGAAGCUAAAAUAAUUAUGACAGGUAGUUUAAUGAUAACAAAUACACAAAUAGCUAUUUGUGAGAUAUGCACCGCAGAUAGUGGAUGUAAUGGGUUGCAUAUCAAACAUUGAAUGAUCAAACACAAAAUGAGAAUGGAUGAGCAAUCGUAAGUAUAAGAACACAAGCAGGCAUAUGGCAAUAAACUACUAGGAUAACAUCAUAAGAAAGUUUGUACAUUCGAUUGAAACACACAACUCAAGUAACCAUCUGUCCUGUUAUUUCCUAGUAACAAGCCAUCAUGCAUGCUCACAGUAAAGAGAGAGAGAGAGAGAGCGAGAGAGAGAGAGAGAGAAUUUGCAGAUAUUUGCACAAUCAUUGCAAAACAAAUUAGCGUUGAUAGUAUAAUUAGAAUCAACAUUUAUAUCCACAAAUUAGCACCAGUCGAAAUGCCUUACGGAAACAUCUAGCAGUUGAUACAUGAAUUGAUAACUUGCAUGCCUACAAAAUUUCAAGAAUUAAUGGCAAACUGGGAUAUUCAAUAGAAUUUUGCAACCAUAUUUGCUAAAAACAGAUAGCGAUAUGAAUUGGAUUUAGAUACAACGACAGAUUCAACCUGCAUUCUCCACAGAUAUGAAUAUGAAUUCUAGUAUUCAUUUUUCAAGCAUCAAUUACAUUUUAUACCCAAAAAUAAAAGGUAAUCAAAAUGUGCAUGAUGUUUUUGUGCUUACUCUUUAUUUUCUAUAAAUAUUUCAUCCACUAGCAAAGCCUAAUUAUGAUUAAAGAACAAGAUUGAAGAGAUGAUGUGCAAUAAAAAUUAAACAAGAAAAGGGUGAGAUUGAGGCAAUCGCUGCUACAAUCCGCAAUCCAAUUACGACCAAUUCGAUCAUAUUCGGCAAUAAAAUUCGCUAAAAGAGAACUCUACCGUAGAACACUCAUCGCAAACCCUAGAAAUGAAGCGGCGCACCAAAAAACACGAUUCGAACACGAAAAACAGUGGGGUAAAAACGGAAAUUCGAGGGUCAUCACGGAUCAAACACGUGAUCGGGAUCAAGAAACCCUAGGAUUGAAGCAACCGCACAAGAUUUUAACACGAAAAUUCGGGGGCGAUCUCGGAUCAAACAAUUGUUGAUCGGGAUCAAGAAAUUUGAGUGGAGGCAGAGAUGCAGAGAUGGAUCAAACGACCUGUUGAUCGGUGCGUGCGAAGCAUUUGCGUUGGAUCUCGCCCUCGAGGGCGUGGCGCUCGUGGAUGGUGAAGUGUUCGUAGUAUUGCGCCAACCGCGUUUGCCCCUGCUUGUUCACAAGCAACACGAAACGAAUCCCAUCGAUAUGCUCUCUCUCACUCUCUCUCGUUGGCGACUGUUUGUUGCUUUAUAUAUGAUAAGAAAAGGUGAAAAUGUAUAAGAACCCCUCAGCUAUACGUAUUUUCAAAAGCGGCUCUCAACUAGUUUCAUAUGUAUCCCUACAAAAUUUAAAAAUUACGAACUUACCGUUAGUUGACUGUUGAAUUGGGAAUUUGAGAUGAAGAUGUGAGUAGUAUUUGUCUGUUACUUAAUAUGGAUACGAGCAAGAAUAAUAAAAUAGUAUGCUAUGUAUCAGAUAAAAUUAUGAGAAACUUCACAAAAUAGUGCGAAUAAUAUAUUUGAUUUAAGGGCAAAUUUCAAAUUGUCUCCCUGUGAUGUGGCUCAUUUUUAUUUUAUCAUUUUGUGGUGCAAAAAAUAUCACUUUGCUCUCUGUAUGAUUUAGCUUAUGUUUACUUUGUCAUCUUGUAGUUUAAAAAAUUUUAUUUUACCCUCUUGCAGUUUAGCAUGUUUUUCACUCGGCCACCCUAUUGUUUUUUUUUUUAAAUUUUCACUUAGUCACAUAUUUCAUGUAGAAUUUUUUGGUAAAAUAAAAAAUAAACAACAUGGGCUACGUAAAAGUUUUUGAACCAAGGAGUAGCAAAUUGAAGAAAAGCUAAACCACAGCAGUGCAAUUUGAAGUUUACACAAUUUUUUUUGGCAUCAAAAGAGAGAGAGAGAGAGAGAGAGAGAGAGAGAGAGAGAGAGAUCCAGUACUUCAAAUUCAUGUGUCUCUUCCUUCUUGGACAUUUCUGCUAAAUUUUCUACAUUAGAUCAUAAAAAAGAGUCCAUCAACUGGUUCUCCAUAUAGUUUUCAUUACAUGCACUCAUAAUAAAACGAUAUCUUAAUCAAAAUGCAUGCAUACCUGCUCAGCCCAAUGAGGUGGUACAUCUAAUUACAUGGCAUAUUUUUGGGUCACAACAAACACACGCUCUUCAUACAAAGGAGCCUAUUUUUGUAGAGUUGCUAAGUUAUAGAAGGGCCCCUUCUUGUUCAUGAGCUGUGCAUAAGUCCCCUGCUCUACCACCCUCCCUUCGCCGACAAACGCGAUCGAGUCGAGACCUUUUAUUGUGUUCAUGCGGUGGGCCACCACGACGGUCGUCCUCCCGACCAUGAUCCGGUCCAAGGCCUCCUGCACGGCGCGCUCCGACUGCACGUCGAGCGCGCUUGUCGCCUCGUCCAGCAGCAGUAUUGUCGGAUUCCUUAUGAUCGCCCUCGCGAUCGCAAUCCUUUGCUUUUGCCCCCCCGACAGCUGUAUUCCACGCUCACCGCAAUCGGUACCGUAACCGUCUUUUAAAGACCUACGCAAAAUUGUCGAGCACAAUUUCUCCGAAUGAACUCCUAGUCUUAUGCGAUUUAAAUUCAAAUUUUGAGUUUGGCAACGUUCUUGUGACGAUAAGAGAAACGUGAAACUUACGAUAUGAAUUCGUGAGCGUUGGCGGCCUUUGCGGCUUCGACGAUCUCGUUCUCGGUGGCUUCGGGCUUGCCGAAGGCGAUGUUGUCGCGAACGCUGCCCGAAAAGAUCACUGGUUCUUGGCUGACAAGCGCGGUGAAGCCGCGAUACCAAAUGAUGUCCAGUUCCCUCACAUCUACGCUGUCUAUGCGAACAACCCCGCGGUCGACGUCGUAGAACCGUUGGAUCAAGCCGACGACGGUCGACUUACCACAACCGCUGCGCCCGACUAGCCCCACGCUCGUGCCGGCCUUAACUUCUAAGUUGAACUCGCGCAAGACGAGACACUGUGGCCGGCUCGGGUACGCGAAAUCGACCUUUUUGAUCUCUAUUCUGCCUUGAAUUCUCCUCUGCAAUGUAGUUUUCUCACUUAGAUGAUCAACCUGCAUAAUGAUCACACGUAGUAGGUAAAAUUACGUAUAUAUUCCUACAAAAGAGUUUAUUUGCUCAACCAUACUCUGAAAUUUCAAAAAGUUCGCAUACGAAAAUUCAAAUUUUACAGGAUAUAUACAAGCUUUUGAAUUUAAACACUCUGAUGAAUAUUUGAAGCGGACGGAUAUAUAUAUAGAGAGAGAGAGGCUUACUUGAGAAGAUCUCGGAGUCAUUGUUUGCCGAUCAAGCACCUCGAAGAUGGCGGCGACCGCGUUCGUCCCCUUCGCGAGAUCCGAGGUCAUGCUGCCGGCUUCGGCAAUCAACUUUCCAGUACUCACCAGAAUGAAGAAAGUCUUGAACACAUCACCUGCUGAAAUCUGACCUGACUGGGCCAACUUCCCCCCAUACCAGAAAUCCAGAGCCCAGGUCAGGAACGACAGGCACGGCGAGAAGCCCGUGGCCACCCCCGCUGCCCACGCCAUCCUCCUCGCGGGUUUCAAUGGCUUCUCCUGGGCUUCCUCGAAAAGCCGAAGCACUUCCGCCGAGCACCCAAAUGACGUGACCAUCCGGUGGUUCCGAACCGCUUCGAUCGCAAUCUGAGUGCUCUUAUGUUGAGCUCGGGCUAGGUCAUGCGACGCGUUCGAUAGGACAAUCUUUUUCAAGUAGUGGAAUACGACUGUAGACGGUUGGACCGCGAUCAUGACUAGGGCGAGCUUCCACGCCACAGCUAAGCCCAUCGUGACCGCAACGGCCACUCCGGACGCCGUUUGGACGAGAAGAGAGAUUCGAUCAGCUACAAGAGUCUUAACAAGGGAGGCCUCAUUGCUUAGCCUGGAGCACAAUGCGGCGCUCGAAUUGGGCUCUUCGUCGAACCAAGCCGGCUCAAAUGUGAGGAUCUUUUCGAGGACCCGGACUCGGAUCCUUCGAGUCAGGUGCUCUCCCAUGUACGCGAAAUUGUAAUGCUGCAGCAGGUUCACGACGAAGGAGAUGACAGAGAGGGAGGAGAAUAUCAAUGCGUAUCGCCGGAUAACCGCGGCCAUCUCAUCGUGGUCCUUGAGGAAGAACGCGGCGAUCAUGCCACCAAUCGUGAAGGCGUAGAUCGGCUGUAAGGAGCCAUACACGACGGCCGCGGUGCCACCGAUAAGAGCUUGUUUCCACUCCCGGGAAUUCAUUGCGAGGAGCCGAGAGAAAGAAGGCGGGGAGUGAGAGAUGGGCUUGUCGGGCCUUCGUUCGUCAGAAAGGGCCGACCCCGGGAAGGAUAUUGGGCUCGAUUUGGUUACGCUGGGCCGUCCCGCGCUGCUCCGUGCCGCCGAAGAAGGCCAGAAAGGCUCGGAAUCUUGAUCGACUGAGCUCGACACUUUCUGCAGCUUGGCUAACCGCGAGUACUGGCUGUUCCUGGCGAGGAGUUCGUCGUGCAUGCCGACCUCAACGAUCGUGCCACUGUCGAUGACAGCGAUCUGAUCGGCGUUCUUUACAGUCGAAAGCUUGUGAGCUACCACCUGAUCGAAAACCAACAAAUUUGAAUGCGAGUGGUCCUCAAUUUUUCGAAGUUUCUGAUUUGUUACUAACUUUUAAACUGUUACAAUUGGAUCCUAACUUGAUCAAAUUGUAUGGAAACUAAGUUUUCGUAAUCGUUAUACCAGCGUUGUUCGGCCCAUGGAUGCUUGAUCUAAAGCAUUUUGAACCAGCUUCUCGGACUCCGAAUCGAGGGCACUCGUGGCCUCGUCGAGGAGGAGGAUCGCCGGGUUCUUGAUGACGGCUCUCGCGAUGGCGAUUCGCUGCUUCUGACCGCCGGAUAGGAGUGCGCCUCCCUCACCUAUCUGCACAACGUAUCGUCACAAGAUGAUGUUAUUCAGAUGUUCGGAGGCGAGUUAAGACCCAGUCUUAAACUCCAGAUCUUCUGUUGUGGCGGAAAGUUGAAAUAUGCUUUGUUGUAAUUUAGAGUAUUUGAUUCUAUUGCAACGAGAAGCUGGUAAAAGUUAGUUAGGUCUAGUUUAAAAUUGUGCUUUUCAAACAUAAUCAUUUACCAAUUUUAGAUCUCUAAGAAAAUUGGAAAGAGUUUUAGAGAUUCAUUUCCCUGAUUGUGUUUAAAUAUUCUAUAUUCCGCAUUUUCCUCCUAACUCCAGAUUUUUUGUUCAAAUUAGAAGUAUAGUCAAGUUUUGUUUUUUGUUUUUUUUUGCAUUUACCGUAUUCACUUUGUCCUAGCAGUGUACAUCCUAACAGCACACAAACAAAAAAAAAAAAAAUACUACAUGUUCAACUUGAAUGUCUAAUAUAAUGCUUGCAUGGUAAGAAAAAAGCCAUAUUUAUAAAUAUAAAUUUACAGGAGUUAUUUAUAAAAAAAGUUAAAGGUAGAUAAAUGCAAAAAGAGUCUUGAAAUUUGAACUUACAACCUGAUGCGGCUGUAUCAUAAAAAUUUAAAACUACUAGAGAGAAUGCUAUUUUAAUAUGCUAUAUUCAAUAUGCCCGCAUUAAUUUCAUAGCAUUGCGUUAAAAAAAAAAAUGCACACAUUUUCAAACCGUACCUAAAUUUUCUUUUAAAAAAGAGAAAAAAGAAAAAAAGAGAAGAACUUGGGGAAAUUUACAGAAAAACCCCUCACCUUUGUAUCGUACCCCUCGGGGAGCUGCGUGAUGAAACCGUGCGCGUUCGCGGCCAUGGCCGCCGCAUACAUCUCCUCUGCGGACGCGCCCACCUUGCCGAGCAGUAUAUUCUCGCGUACGGAUGCUCCGAAGAGCGCGUGGUCUUGGCUCACGAGCCCCAUCCUCGCCCUGAUCCAUCCGAUCCCGAGCCUCCUCAAAUCCACGCCGUCGAUCCUCACCGCGCCCUCGUCCGCGUCGUAGAACCGCUGGACCAGGCCCACCACGGUGGACUUCCCGCUCCCGCUGGGCCCCACCAGGGCCACGGUCCGGCCGGCCGGGACGCGGAGGCUGAACCGGUUCAGGACGGGCGAGCCCGGCCGGGCCGGGUAGGCGAACCGGACCGAGUCGAACUCGAUCUCGCCGCGGAUCCGGCUCGGGACGAGCCCGGUCGGGUCCGACGAGUCGAUUUUUGGGACGCGGUUGAUGCGGUCGAGGAUUCGCGCCGCGGCCACUGACGCCUCCGUAAAGUGUUUCACCUCGGGAAGCGCCAUUCCCAGUGACCUGCAUCAAUAUAUAUAUAUAUAUAUAAAUAUAUUAAAUUUAUUUUUCCAAAAUUGUAAUAAAAAAAUUACUGUAAAGAUUAAUGGCGGGAAUAUCUCCAUUAUCAUUACUGUUAGGGUUUGCUAAUAGGAUUGAAGUGUUGAAGAGUAUUUUGAAUAUUAAGGGAUAAAUUUUUUNCUAAAUUUAUUUUUAAAACCUUUCAUCAUUUGAUAAAUAAUAUUGACAAAAUAUAAAAUAUAAUAUUUAAAUAAGUCUAAUAGCUAGUGUAUAUCACAUGUAAUAUAUCCGAUUGUCAAUUUAAAUAUUUUAUUAUUGAACACGAUUUUUUUUUUUUAGAAAAAGAUAUCAUGUUACCCAUUUCGUUUAUAUUUUUUAAAAAUAAAUUUAGCUGGAAAUAUGAAAUAAUUACACUUCAAACUUUGGUUAUUUGCGCUAGAGACGGCCGACUCUAUAUAUAUUUAAAACACUAUCCUGUAGUUAUACUAUCUAAUUUAUACAAAAUACUAAAAUAUAAAAAAAAUUUUAUAAAUAUCAACUUUUCACUUUUUUUUUCCCAACAAUAAAAAACUUUAAAAUUUUAGAAAUAUUUUUAGGGAUUUUAUAAUAGUAAUAAAGAUGGCAAAAUAAUCAAAUUAUCCUUGUUGUUUUAUAAAAAAAAUAAUUUUUAAUAUAUUUAUAUUAUUUUUUAAGAAUACUUUCGGUAUAAAUUAUGAAAAAUAGACUGAGCAGUAGCUAGUUAAAAUAUCUAUACUCUUAUAUGAAUCCCUAAUAUGAAAUGAUGACGUGACAAGCUCUCAUCUUUUUUAAUUUACGUUUCAUCUCCACUUUUAAAUGCUCAACCUUGCACCUCUCCAUAUUUAAUUAUAUGCAUCAUAUUCCACCAAUUAGUGAGUUUAAUUUGUAACUCCAAUCCACUCCCCUCCACCAUUAAUCCUUCCACCACUUCUUUUUUGCUUGACAUAUUAUUUUCCAUGCAAAAAAGAAGAUUAUCAUCUAAUCUCUCACCUCACACUCAUCUCCUUCUCUCUAUCUCAUUGUGUUAACAAAGAUUAUGAGGAUAAUGAAGAAGAAGAGUAUGUGAAGAACGUUGUCUUCUUCAAGAAGUAUCGUCCUGUAAAGUUCAGCUGUGGCUCAUAUAAGUGCUCGAGCAGGCCGGUCUGCGCCGGAGCCCUCGCUCGCCGUGAACCGUUGCCACCUUGACUGCCUCCUCGCACGGCUCGCGCACGCCCACAACUGGGCCGAGGGGAGCAGCGUCCUAGCCUCCUCUUCGCAGGGACGUUGCGUGGGAGCUCACUUCUCAAGAAUCGCAGAAAUUUCUUGGCAAAUCAAAUUGUUUAAGAAUUAAAAUUUCUGUGGUUGAUGUGAUGGUAAGGCUGUGUCGGUUUAGAUAUCGCAGUUUGGUGAUGCAGAUGAGGUGUUUGUUUAUAGGUUACAAUGAAAAUCCAGAAGUGACUCAGUGCGGGAAGCAACUACCAGCUGAAGAUUAAGAAGAUGUAUAAGGUUUGGAUGAGUAAGAGAAGUGCUCCCAAAAAGUAUUAGAUUUUUAAGAUUGAUGUUUUUUGUUUUAUUUUCAUCUUAUGACCAUUUUUUUGAGUAGACACUGUUGUAGGCAAAAUUUCUUUCGUAGAUUAAAAAAUAUAAUGUGGAGACUGGAACCUGACAGAUAUGUUAAGUUAUUAUUUAUGUAUUUCAUAUGUUUCUAACUAUAAUUUUAUUUUUUUAACAAUUGAAUUUAGUUAUGUAAAUAUAAAUUUUAUUAAAAUUUUAAAAAUUUGCUUUUAUUAUCUACCCGCUGCAUCACGCGGGUCUCUGCACUAGUAAAUUUUUAAAAGUCAAGAAAAAAAAAAGUGAAAAAUCAAAGAAUUUUUGUAUUUUAGCCUAUAAAAAAUGAAGGAGAUCUAGAAUGAUUCCUCCCCUUUUUUGCUUCAAUUUGUUACGGAUCCGAUUUAAAAGAUCUCAUGUUGUUAAAUGGAAACCCUACAAUUUUAUCUACAAUUUGGUUAAUUUUUUAUGUUCGAUCUUAUUUUAGUGAGAAGAUCCGGAUGUUUCCGAUGGGUCUACCAGUAUCCAGCAUCUUGAUGAGUGAGUCGAUCGUAAAUCUAGUCUUAAUUAAUUAAUUUAAUCACAUUUAAGCUCAAUUUCGAUCGAUUUCAGUUGGUGUAAACAUUGCUCGUGCGUUUCUCUUUCCCUCUUUCUCUCCCCCUCUCUCCCCCCUCCGGUCGCCGGCCAUUUCUCGUGGCGUGGCGGCCGCGGGACACGAGCGACGGUGAGGACGACGAUGAGGACGGUGGUGACGGCGGAGGCAAUACUCCCCUAGCCUCCGAUGGUCUUCCCCAUCACGCCGAUCUUCAAAACAUGGGAGGAAAAGAAAAAGAGAUCAGAUAGGAUUUGCUUCCCCCUGAAACCACCCUCUGUGCCAGGACCACGUAUGAGGUAUAAACACCAAUUUCUUUGUGUUGCACCCCGGUCCCGACCUUAUGAUGAGGUUGAAGGGCCUAAUUACACACACUCUCUCACUCUCUCUGCCUAAUUCUGCCUAUAUUGUUGCUACCCUACACGUCGGACCGCCACUCCCCGAGGCAAGGACUUUUGGGCUUGGCUUGUAAUGAAAAAUCCCAUAUGGGCGAGAACCAGUAGUAAACAAUGUCAGGAACUUUAACUAUUUUUUCUCUUUCUUUUCUUUCUUUUUUCUUGACAUUAAUCGACUUCAAAUAACCAACUAUAUGGAAGGUCAGGGCUGUUUGGGCUUGAGAAAUUGAUCUAAAAAAAAUACAACUAAAAUAUUAUACAAUAAUAUGUUUAAAAAAUAAAAAAAUAUAUAUAUAAUUUUAUAUAUAUAUAAAAUUAUAUAUAUAUUUUUUUAUUUUUUAAACAUAUUAUUGUAUAAUAUUUUAGUUGUAUUUUUUUUAGAUCAAUUUCUCAAGCCCAAACAGCCCUGACCUUCCAUAUAGUUGGUUAUUUGAAGUCGAUUAAUGUCAAGAAAANAUCUGAAAUGUAUGAGAUAUCUGAUUGAUUUGUGUUUUUAUGUAUUCUAAUUCCAAUUGAUCUUGUGAUUUUAAAUGCAUAAAUGGUUUGUUAUUGAAUAACAAUUAGUUAAAAUAUUAUUGGUUAUCUUUUAAUGCAUUAUCUGAUUGAUUAAACAUUUAAAUGUUUAAACAAUUUAAAUUUGAAAUAUAUGAGAUAUCUGAUUGAUUUGUGUUUUUAGGUAUUGUAAUUCUAAUUGAUCUUGUGAUUUUAAAUGCAUAAAUGGUUUAUUAUUGAAUGACAAUUAGUUAAAAUAUUAUUGGUUAUCUUUUAAUGCAUUAUCUACCAUUUAAUUUUUAAAAUUAGCAUAAUAUUUAGCAACAUUUGAAUGAGAUAUUGUAUAUUAGAUUAAAAAUUGCAACAUUUAGUAAUGUUGGAAAUGAUUACUUUAUACCAAUAUUAGCAAUAUUUAGAAAUGUUGGAACGGUUAGUUUAUACCAACACCAGCAACAUUUAGUAAUGUUGUAAAUGAUUCAUUUAUACCAACAUAUGAUAAAUAUUACUAAAUCUACUUAUUCAGUAACACUUGUUAUAUGUCUUCUUAUACUUGUUAUUAGCAACAUUUUAUUCAAAUAUUGGUGAAAGAAUCACCAACUCGGGCAUAGGCAACGUUAAUUAUUAAAUGUUGCCAAUAGUUUUAAUAUCAAAUUUAUCUCUUUUAUUAUUAUUGCCCCUAAAACACAAAUUUCUUGUAGUGUCUGGAAUGAUUCAUCUUCCCUUUUUUGCUUCAAUUUGUUACCGAUUAGAUUUAAAAUCCCUUUUUUGCUUCAAUUUGUUACCGAUCUGAUUUAAAAUCCUAGGAUGGCGGCCGCAAGCGUUUGAAAUUUGUAGCCACAAAAAUCUGGCGAGAAGAUCUCUUGUUGUUAAAUGAAAACCCUACAAUUUUAUUUACAAUUUGGUUAAUUUUUUAUGUUUGAUCUUAUUUUAGUGAGAAGAUCCGGACGUUUUCGAUGGGUCUACCAGUAUCUGGCAUUUUGAUGGGUGAGUCAAUCGUAAAUUUAGUUUUAAUUAAUUAAUUUAAUCACAUUUAAGCUCGAUCGAUUUUAGUUGGUGUAAACAUCGCUAGUGCGUUUCUCUCUCCCUCUUUCUCUUCCCCUCUCUCCCCCUCCGGUCGCCGGCUAUUUCUUGUGGCAUGGCGGUGGCAGGGCACGGGCGACGGAGAGUACGACGAUGAGGACGGUGGUGGCGGCGGAGGCAAUACUCCCCCUUCCCCCAGCCUCCGAUGGCCUUCCCAUUACCCGAAUCUUCAAAACAUGGGAGGAAAAGAAGAAGCCAGAUAGGAUUUCCUUCCCCUGAAACCACCCUCUGUGCCAGGAGGUAUAAACGCCAAUUUCUUUGUGUUGCACCCCGGUCCCGACCUUAUAAUGAGGUUGAAGGCACUCUCUCACUCUCUCUGUCUAAUUCUGUCUAUGCUGUCGCUACCCUACACCGUCAAGCACGCACUCCCCGGAGGCAAGGACUUUUUGGCCUUCGCUUGUAAUGAAAAAAUUCAUAUGGGUCGACAAGAACCAGUAGUAAACAAGUGUCAAAAGGUUAAGGCUGUUUUGGACCUUGGAAAUUGAUCUCACAAAAACACACCUAAAAAUAUUAUACAAUAUAAGGUUUUAAAAAAUUAAAAUUAUAUAUACUAUAUAUUACUAGGUAUAUAUAUAUAUAUAUAUAUAUAUAUAUAUAUAUAUAUAGAACUAGGCUACUAUGCUAUUAAUAGCACCAAGUCAUUGGUGCUACCAAAUUUUUAGCCAUUGGAUUAAAAGAUGUGUGGUUAGGAUGAUGUGAGCCCUCUAGGAUUUGAGUAGGUGGUUGGUUGAAUAGUAUGAUCUAACGGGUGAAAAUAAUCAAAAGGGUAGAUCUAACGGCAGAAAACUUGGUAGCACCAAGUGCUUCGUACUAUUAAUAGUAUAGUAUAGUAUAGUAGCCGGGCUCUAUAUAUAUAUAAUGGAAAAGGGGAAGAGAGUCCACGAGUCCACCGUGGACUAGAUCUCUUAUGUUGUCCACGAGGUGAGGAUGACCUCGUGGACCGUGAGUCGCAAUUUUUCGAGAAGUCUCUCUCUCACACCAUUAAUAUCACGAUCACCACUAUAAAUAGAACUCAGCCGCUCCGAUCCCGCUACUUUCCCUCUCUCCUUAAAAUUUCAAAAGCAGGAGAGAUCAUCGAGGAAGAGGAGAUUGUCCGGGAAGAUCGCCGGGGAAGAGAAGAUCAUCCGGGGAGAUCGUCGGGAAAGACGAGAUCGUUGGGGAAGAGGAAGCUCGGGAAGAGGAGAUCGAUCGACGAUGUCCCAUCACCUCCUCGCGACUAAAGGUCCUCUCAACCCAAUAUGGUGAGGCGAAAGAAAAUUAAUAAGUCUAGACGAAAUAUUCAAAAAUUGAAAGGAAAAACUAUACAUACAAUCCACCCAAGACGAAGGCUAUCCCCGCCGCGUAGAUCCGUCCGCCGCUCUCGCCGUGGAACAUGACCAGUCUGCUGCCAUACCAGGCCAGAAACCCCCAGAUGGCGAACGAGAGCCCCGUAAACCCGACGGCCAGCCCCUUCGCAGUCCCUUGCCUGACACCGAGCCCGAUAGCCUUCUCCAAAACGGCCGCGUAGCUACCAACGAUCCUUCGCUCUGCAGUGAACGAAUACACCGUCUUGAUGGCGCCGAGCGCCUGCGCGACGAUCGCGUUGGCCUCUGCGUACUCAUCGCGCAUUUUUCGAGAAAGGAAGAGGAGGUAUCUGCCGUAGAUCAGGCCCGGGAUUACGAGCAGCAGCAGAAGUGGAAAUGCAGCUAAGGAGAGUCUCCAGGAGAAGUAUGUUGAGAAUGCUAGGCCGGAGAUGAACACUGAUGAGUGCACGAGAAAUAUUGGCACCUGCAAAAUACAUACAUAUAAAAUGAAAGGAGAAAUAUAAAUGCAUGGACAUAUAUAUAUGGUUAGUUAAUNNNNNNNNNNNNNNNNNNNNNNNNNNNNNNNNNNNNNNNNNNNNNNNNNNNNNNNNNNNNNNNNNNNNNNNNNNNNNNNNNNNNNNNNNNNNNNNNNNNNNNNNNNNNNNNNNNNNNNNNNNNNNNNNNNNNNNNNNNNNNNNNNNNNNNNNNNNNNNNNNNNNNNNNNNNNNNNNNNNNNNNNNNNNNNNNNNNNNNNNNNNNNNNNNNNNNNNNNNNNNNNNNNNNNNNNNNNNNNNNNNNNNNNNNNNNNNNNNNNNNNNNNNNNNNNNNNNNNNNNNNNNNNNNNNNNNNNNNNNNNNNNNNNNNCUUCUUUUCUUGGCUUUUGCAGCACGCUGUAAUGGCUUCAGAAAGAAGGCACACUGUAACAGCAAACACUGGCGGCUUAGCCCAGUAAUCCAAGGGCUAAUUUGCAUCAAACCUAAUGUGGCGUAAUUAUAGUCCCACUGCUUGAUAACUAAGGACAAGGAGAUGAGAGAAGAACGUUAUGCUCGUUUAGACGCCUCUGAAACUGUGCCAGCCGAGCCUGCAAGUUCACGAUUCCAGCGGCUUUCUGCGAAAGUAUCGCACUCAAUCUUGAGAUGUAGUCAUCUAAUUGGUUGCCAGGUUGAUCUGCUUCGACCAAAAGGUUCAUCUCCUGAAAGUACAAAGGAACAGAGAAAAUUAUGACUUUCUUUGCCGACCAAAAAAGGUCAUGUGAUCCAAGGCAUUAUUACCUCUCUUAUGAUAUCUAGAGUCUCCUCCACUUGCUUUCGGUGAGCAGUCACCAGCUCUUCUUCUUCCUGAAAGUGUAUCAUUGAAGAAAGGUUAUUACAAAAAAAACAAGCUUUUACACACGCACAUAAUAUAUAUAUAUAUAUAUAUAUAUAUAUAUAUAUAUAUAUAUAUAUGGAUCGGGAGCACUAACUAACUAUUUCAAAAAUACGUAUAGUUAGAAGUGACGCACUAAUCACACUUAAGGGCUCAGUCAUAACGCUUUACGGGCCUUCAAUCCGCCUAAAUGUUAUGCCUAUUAUUGGAACUCUCUCUCAACUUAUUGACUCACCUAAUACAAUUUAUUAGUUUUUUGAACUUAUUGUCACAGAUAAGAAAGUUAAACUUAUUUUAGACAAUAAUAAAUAGCCAACAAUAUAGUCCCAAGGCUUUUUUCUCACUUUUUGUUGUCAUGUGAUUUAUUUUUGUUCAUCAUAAAGAACUGUCAUUAAAUAUAAUAAAAAAAAUACUGUAUUUUAUAAAUCACAUGAUAGUAACGUGAUAUAUUAAUUUACAGACCAUAUGAUGGUAAAAUGUAGCAUUUUACCACAUUGUGAUAUCCUUCUUAAUGACAAAAAAACGGAAAAAAAAUUUCAGGUUAGUAAAGUGAAACUUUGUAGAAUGCAGGAUGACAAAAUACAAAUACGCUAAAUUGGAGACCGGGAAAUUGGAUUUUCUGUUGGAAAAAAGGAUAUUAUAAUGUUUUAAUAAAAUAUAUAAUGGUGCAAUUUUAGUGCUAGAUUUGAAUUGGAAAGGCCAGAAAACACUCAGCAUAAAUUCCAUCAAAUUGUAUGGAUUAGCAAAAACCAAGUUGUUGGAAUAUUCUUUAAUUAAAUUAAAGAGUACCUUGUUCUUUCAUAAUCAAAAAGUCGUUUGAGAGAAUAUUAAUUACAAGUAAAUUCAUGUGAUGUACUUAGGAAUCUUGCUGUUAAGAUGAUAAUAGUAACUAGUGUUUUUUAAUUUUAAUUAGAUAAUUCCCCAAUAUAUAGUGUGGACUCUCCAAAACUAGAAAAGAUUCCCACAUGUUUGAAACAUGUGAGGGAAAUAGUCACUUUGCUCUUUUGUUUGAGUUUUUCAUUUUUUUUUCAAAAUCUCAAAUAAUUAGGCCAAUUUGCUAGUUAGGAGUGGAACAUCAAAUCUUUUAUCCAAAAUAUCAAUAUAGUACAAAAUACGCCUAAAAUAUUUAUUAACAGUACCCCACUAAUAUGCAUAAUUUGGCCUGUUAAAUAUUGAAGCUGGAGAUCAAAUCAAUUACGUCACAGAACAAAAGUGAAGAAAUAUAUAUAUAUAUAUAUAUAUAUAUAUAUAUAUAUAUAUAUAUAUAUAUAAACAAAAUCAAUCUUUUACUUUAUUCAUAAAAGUGGUAAUGUAUUCGUCGAUUGAUCUUGCAAAACCUAGAUUUACCAUAUAUUUCAAUAUCUUCUUUUUUUCCCCAAAAGAGAAGGAUUGAAUUAAUCUUAGAUAUCAUAUAUACUGAUUUCAUUAAUAUCAUAAGGUUAUAAUGUGUUCUACUUAUGAUAGCACAGCAAGGAUUCAAAGAAAUGAUCCUAUUUCUUAAUGAUGAUUUAUAGUACCUCAUUCUUUAAUUUCCACAAAAGAGAAAAAAAAAAAAAGAAAGGAAAAAGAAAUUAAAGAUGAUAUAGAAUGAUUGAUUUGUGUUUUAAUUAAUUAGAUGCUAUAUACCCACAUAGUAUCAAGUACUCCAAUUGAAAGGAUUGAUUCCCCCAUGUUUGAAACAUGUGGGGAAGAUGCAUGGACACUUUAUUCCCUUCCUAAAAUUUUAUUUAUCUAAAACAAGUUUAGUACACUUAGUAGUAUCAACAUCAAAUCGCCCUUUUAAUUUGCUACAAAAAAGUGGUAAACAUGAUCAUAAACAUUACAAAAUUUAAGUAGAAUUUAAUUUCUUAUUAUUUGGCGAAAAGACCUGCGAUUGAUAUAGCCUCAAGCAAUUCAGCUUGAGUUCUCUGCUGUGAUUUAACCUCUCAACGAAAUACGCUAUGUUCGGCCGCAUAUCUCAGGCCGAGCUUGUUUCGAUGGGCUCGGGGUUGAUUUUGACUCUGAUGGAAGGAAUUCUAAAGACCUGAGAUCUCGGCCAAAGCCUUCAGUUGAAGUCUACGGCGGAAAUGAGAGGAAAAUGUAGUAUUAAGGCUAGUGCUAUACUGCUACAUUGAAUUGGAAAUUAGAAAACUAAUUUACCCUACUUUCGGCUGAAAUACGAAAAUUACUCGUACUUUCAAAUCGCCCUCAAUAGUUGGAUGUUGGAGACGUAGGUUCUUUCUCUAGUCGUCUGCACAAUGUUAAUUUAUAACCUUCACAAGUCAAGUCUCAGUUCGACUCAUCCGAUAGUCAAAUUCAAGUCCUAUCUGGAAACUUAAUUGAGAUAAUCUCAAUCGAACGUCCGAAAGAACCCGGUACCUUGAUCUUUCACACUUAGAAUUCUAAUAACCUUUGUUGUCCCAUUUUUAUCAUAUUAAGGUUAACACCAAAAUAUUGGACCAACACUAGCUACUAUUUAGAGUUUUAAUACCUUUUAUUUUUAUAUUAGAUUUAUAUUAGAUCUCUAGAUAGAUUCUUUUAGGGUUUUUUUUCACUAGAGAAACACAUUGAUUUCAUUUCUAUCAUAAGCUUAUAAUGUGCUCUAAUCAUGCUGACAAAACAAUACAUGCUAAGAAAUGAACAUUAUUUCUUAAUGAUGAUAAUAAUAAUAUAUGUAGACCCUUGAAGCUUUUAUUCCACAACUUAAAAAAAUUAAAAAAAGAAACAAAGAUCAUAAAUAUUACCUUCUCACUUAGGACCUCUUGGAUGAGAGAAGUAUCCUUUGAUAUACUAUUUAUGAUCUCUGCAGUUGUUGCUUCUUGUGAAUCAAAGAACCCAACUUCCUGUUUAAGGAUUGCUUCAAGAUACAUGUAUCUUAUCCUCAACACCUGCCUCUCACUUGUUCUACUCCAACAAUACCCCUCUACAAUUAAUCAUAGAUAAAACAAACCUCAUUAAAAUCAUAUAUCCAAGACUCAUCUCAAACAAUAUGAUACCCAAAAAAAAAAAAAAAAACUGAAAAGAAAAUCAAGACUACGUGGUAGGAUGUGAUUGCGUUCAUGAAAAUUACCCAUAAAAGCCACCACCAUGACUACUAGUCCUACAUAGACAAAGUAGAGGCAAUACUGCAAACAAAGAAAAGGAAGAAAAGAAGAAUAGAUCAAUCAUAUAUACAUGCAAGAAAAUUUGAGUAGAUCAUAGUGAAUAAUUAAUAAUUAGUAUAAUGUAGAUUAGGGUUUUUCUUGUAGUUCCUAACCUUUUCGAUCUCAUGCAUGAAAUAUAAGUGCUCAUCCUGAUGGGCUUUUCCAUAACCUAAGCUGUUCAUGAGAUUGCUAGCAAAGAGGAGGAGGCAGUUGGUAGAACACCCAUCUCCAACAGCUCCUAUGGUGCCCAAAAACAUCAGAAGAACAUCGACGCGAUCCGCGAACCGAAACACUCCGCGCAAGGAUCCCUCGCAUCGGUUUCCGGUUUCGCGAUCCUCUCCUCUUUUCUUUUCAGCUUCCAUGGCUUAGUAUGAUGAAAACAUGAUAUUGCAGCUUGAGUACAUAAUGGCUAUAUAUAUAUAUAUAUACUGCACCUUUUAUUUUAUCAUGCCCAUAUAGGUAGAUGUGAAAAUACUAGAAAAUUUUGUCCUUUUUUUGCAAAACACCAUCUUCCUACAUGCAUGUUUCCAUUAUGUGGAGUGAGCAUUUUAAUUAAAGAUGAAACCACCACGCGCAUAAGGGUCUGUUUUCAAUAUUACUUUAUAUGGCCAUUACUUUCUUAUGCUCAUAAUUAAGUAAACCAAAAAAAAAAAAAACUAUUAAUAAAGAAAAGGACCACCGACCGUCCCUAGAGUAAGUGGUAAAGAGCUUGAUGGUUGGUACCCGAGAUCUCAAGUUUGAAUCCUAAUUGAUUCACAUUUUCAGCUAAGUUUAUUUCUAAAUAAAAUAAAUAAAGCAGAUAGCAUGCUACCUAUCUCUCAAAAGAAAUAAAGAAAAGGACCAUCGAUCUUUUGUGACAUCGUUUCCCUAAACAUGCUUCAGUAUUACUUUAGUUGCAUGCCUUAGGGUGUUGUGGGCUAGCUUAAUUUGCUUUAUUAAUGGUAAAGAUAUUGGACUCCCCUUUGCACAGGCUUUUUUGGUAAAGCGACAGCUAUAUUACCCUUUACAUUUGCCUUUAUUUCUAAAGACACACAUGAUAUGCUUGAGACGUGUAAACGAUAAUAUAAGAAAAUUCACGAUUAUGAUGAAAUAAAAUCAAGAGAAAUGAUCACCAUUAAACUGAUAAGAAGUGAUCAUUAAUUACCAUCCAUUACGGUUAAUGAAAUGCACAUGAACAUACAUAUAUAGAUACAUUAAUUCUUUACAAAUUAACUUAUAUGAGUAUAUAUGCAUGUUUAAGAUAUCAUUAUAAAAAGGAUCCUGAUUAACUAGUUAGGGAAGUAAAAUAGUUUUUAACCGUCGAAAAAAUAGUGGACAGGUGAGAAAAGAAUAAAUAUAAGAAGAUCAAUAGAAUUAAUUCCUUAUGCAAAUUUUGUGUUUGCAUUAAUCUUAAUUAACUAGGUUGGUGGGUUAUGUGGUUCAUGCAAGGUUUAGGUUGCUUCCCACUUUUUAUUAAUUUUCUGGUUGUGUCACUUGAUUUACAUGUACAAGUCAAUUAUUAAAUUUUAAGCAUUUUAUAAAAAAUUAAUAGCAUUAGGUACGUAAAUUCACUAGUCCAACUCUCUAAUCAAAUGUAUAAAAUCAUUUGAGUACUAAAAUUUAGAAACUUUAAUUAGGUGCAUGAAGUACACUAGUGUACCUCUCUCUCUCUCUCUCUCUCUCUCUCUCUCUCUCUCUCUCUAAACUAGUUACAUGUAUAUAUACUUCGAACACUCAAAUCACAUGUUGAUAUGCUUUAGUACACAUAUACUAAAAUAGUGUACGAGGACUUUUAAUUAUAUGUGUACAUAUUUUAAAUCCCUCGUGUAGAGUGUGUGUGUAUGGGGCAGGUGUAGUUUCGUAAUUUGUGGUACGUCCAUAAAUAAAAUGAUUCUAAUAAUAUAUGUGUCACAUAAAGUAGCUUUAGUAUGAUCUUUAAGUACCUAAUAUAGCCACUCUCAAGCUCUAUAUGUCCAUGUUUGGUAUUAUUCAUUUAACGUGUAGGGACCUGUGCAAUUAAUUGAAUUAAGCCUAACCUAGUUAAGUAGCUUCGGUUAAUCUUGAUAGUGAUGAAGUUUUUUUUUCUUCCUUCUUUAAUAUUUCAUCUUUUAAUAUCCAUGAUAUGAUCAUUUUCAAACUCUUUAGCUCAUGGAUCUUAACCAUUAAAGCUAAAAAAGAUUAUCGGAAAAGUUUCUCCUAUACAUUUUUCUUGUUAAUUAAAAACAAUAGCUCCGCAUUGAAUAGAAAUUAAAUUCUAAUACGUGUUUAGCAGAUACGAGAGAAUCUGCCUAGUAAACUAAAUGCUAAUUGCGCUUAAUAUGUAGAUCAAUUUGGUGCCAUAUAAAAAUUUGAAAUAUAUUUUUUCCCUAAUUUCUCUUAUUUUUCUUUUAAAUAUUUGAGAGGGCAUCUAGUUAUUAUAUAUUAAGUGUUGAUUUGAUGGAUUACUUUGUACGUCAUAGCUAGCACAAGAAGCCAAGUGCUUUUCCUGGUAGUGCUUUAGACCACUAAAACCCACUAAGCUAAUUGCAUAAUUUUAUAUUUAUUUGUUACAUUGUCCUCACUCUACUUUAAACUUAAUUAAAAAAAAAAUUAAUGAUGGAUCCCAACUUAAUUAGUCAAACCACCAUUACAUAGCUCAAACCCCACCAAUUGAAUAAAACAUGUGCUCUUUUAUAAGGAAUAUAUUUAUUCCCAAUAUGCCAUAAGAGAUUCUUUAUUCCAAAUAUUAGGGCAUCAACUUUUUCAAAAAAAAAAAAGAAAAGAAAAGAAAAUGAAGAUAAAUUUUUUUUUAUUUUUCCAAAUCUUAAGACUCUGAGAAUCCUCUGAGAUAUUUUAUUAAUCUAAUUAUUUUGUCCUAGUACAAGUAUAUAUCAAUGGAACAUUAGUGACUUAAUUUUUUUUCUUUUUUUUCUUUUUUGAGUAAUGAUCCCAAGAUUGAAAGUAGAGAAUCCUUUGAAAUAUUUUAUGCAUCUAUAUAUUAUUGUGUGUUAUUACAAGUAUUGAUUGAAUAUUAAUGAUUCUGAGAUUAGUCGCGGUUCAAAGUUCGAUUUUUUUUAUGUUUUUAGUUUUUAUGAAAACUGAACCAAACCGAAUUAAUAGUGUGAACCGAAGUGCUUCUGCUGUUUCACUGUGUUGGGUUAAAAGAAAAUUUGAUUUACACAAAAUUAAAUAAAUUGAAGCUAAGUGUCUAAAUGCUAAUUGGAAUUGAUCUUUUUAACAAACUUCCUGCACUCGCAAUUUUUGUUACUUUAAAAUCUGAAAAUGAGCUUAUGAAUCUCAAAAACAAAGUAUUCUAAUUCUACCAAAUGGAAAUUAUUCGAAAAAAAUAUUUUGAUAAAAAAAAUAAGCUGCUUGUAGUUGUUUACACAGUUCUAAUAAAACAUAAGACUAUGAGAUAAUAUAUCUUAACCCAAAAUAAAGUUAUGAACAUGUCACACACACUUAUUGAGAAAAAAAAAAAAAAAAAGAGAAAAUUUUGAGAGGAUAUUAAAUAUAACACAAUAAUUCUCUUAUCCAAUUAAGAAGGAUAUGAAGCUGUAUAAAAGAGCAAGGCACACUGCUACAACAAGCUGGUGAUAGAGUGAGAUGGUGUUCUCUACACCCAGUGUAGGAGAUGAAGCUCUAUUAGCCGUCGGAUGCGAGUGGAUGAAGGUGACGGAUAUGGACGGCCGUAGAUUUUCUUCAGCGUCGUAGAUGGGCUUUCCACUUGCACUCCUGAAGAGCCCAUUACUCCUAGCCUGCAAAAUAGCACAUUGGAUUGGGCCCAAUAGGCCCAUUAUUAGGGUUUUGUGAAAUGGCAAAUAAAUAAAUAAAUGAAUAAAUAAAUAUGUGGGUAGUGAGUUAGGAGUCACAAUUCCCACUUCUGUUUCUGCUAUUAUCAGUAAACCAUUUGACAAAUAAAAAAAAUAAAAAAAAGUUCAUGUUGUUUUUAGUGAUUGAAGGUUAAAAAUCAAAUAUUUGUACUUUAAAAUUAGAAGCUCUAAUUUAGAGCUUCAGCUUUUGCUAUACAGAGAAGGUAUUGAAAAAAUUUUAAUAUAAAAAAGGCCUAAUGGUUGCUCGCUCUAAUUUUAUCCGUUUGAUUUGUUAUUAUGUAAUUGACUUGUUAACUUGUUAUUGUAAUUCAUAAGAAAUUCUUUUUCUUUUCCAUUUUUCAUUUGAGAAUUAUAGCUUAGUUCUAAUUAUGACAUCAAUAGAGAUGCAAAUGGAUCCGGACCGGUGGAAAUCCCGCCCUAAUCCACUAAGAAAUGGAGUGGGAUGCAGGGACCUUCUCUUUUUCUUUUUCUUUUUUUUUGAUCUAUAUUCCGAUCGGCCAAAAAUCCGUUCCGCCCCACCUGCCUGAAAUGGAGCGAGAAGUGGGGGCACAAUAGGAUAAAAUCCAACCCUACCCACCUCCGAAUUCGUCCCUUUUGCCGCCCUAGAUAUCACAAAUUUCGUAUGUGAUUGGUUUAUGACGCACCAAUAAUAAUUUGAGCAGAUUCUUUUGCCUCUGAAAUAGUAUGGCGCUUUUGUUUUGUAGUGGUACUUAGUCUUAGACAAUACUUUAUCGAACAGUAUUUAUAUUCUCCAAUAUUAGAGGCCAAAGAGGCCCAAAUUAACUCCUACCAUAUUUCAUGUAUGAUGAUUUGAAUCACCUGGAUCUGGUCACCGAUAGUGACAACAAUGGCCUUGUCACUGGGGCAAAAGUUGACCCAACCUCUCUUGGUGUACAUGCAAAAGCCAGAAGCUCCUUGGCACACAUGCAGACACAAAGCAUGGGAGUUGAUUAAGCUCUUUAUCACCAAUUUGAGGGCUUCAUGCUUCAGCUGCUUCCUGCUGUUGCUGCUGCUGCUACUGCUGCCGCCAUUUUUGUACUUGUUAUGCUUAUGGAGCUGAAGAACCAAUUCACCUGCACAUUUCUCUCCUGAAGCUACUUCUAAUGUUUCUUCAAUUUUGAUGGCUAUCUUCUUCAUGAGUUCACAUAGAUCAUCCAUUUGGUCACUGCAAGGAGAGAGAGAGAGAGAGAGAGAGNCUUUUGAGAAUUAUAGCUUAGUCCUAAUUAUGACAUCACUAGAGAUGCAAAUGGAUCCGGACCGGUGGAAAUCCCGCCCUAAUCCACUAAGAAAUGGAGUGGGAUGCAGGGACCUUCUCUCUUUCUUUUUCUUUUUUUUGAUCUAUAUUCCGAUCGGCCAAAAAUCCGUUCCGCCCCACCUGCCCGAAAUGGAGCGAGAAGUGGGGACACAAUAGGAUAAAAUCCAACCCUUCCCACCUCCGAAUUCGUCCCUUUUGCCACCCUAGAUAUCACCAAUUUCGUAUGUGAUUGGUUUAUGACGCGCCAAUAAUAAUUUGAACAGAUUCUUUUGCCUCUGAAAUAGUAUGGCGCUUUUGUUUUUUAGUGGUACUUAGAUAGUACUUUAUCGAACAGUAUUUAUAUUCUACAAUAUUAAAGGCCAAAGAGGCCCAAAUUAACUCCUACCAUAUUUCAUGCAUGUAUGAUGAUUUGUAUCACCUGGAUCUGGUCACCAAUAGUAACAACAAUGGCCUUGUCACUGGGGCAAAAGUUGACCCAACCUCUCUUGGUGUACAUGCAAAAGCCAGAAGCUCCUUGACAUACAUGCAGACACAUAGCAUGGGAGUUGAUUAAGCUCUUUAUCACCAAUUUGAGGGCUUCAUGCUUCAGCUGCUUCCUGCUGUUGCUGCUGCUGCUGCCAUUUUUGUACUUGUUAUGCUUAUGGAGAUGAAGAACCAAUUCACCUGCACAUUUCUCUCCUGAAACCACUUCUAAUGUUUCUUCAAUUUUGAUGGCUAUCUUAUUCAUCAGUUCACAUAGAUCAUCCAUUUGGUCACUGCAAAGAGAGAGAGAGAGAGAGAGAGAGAGAGAGAGAGAGGGGUUAAGCUAACCAACAAGUGAAGGGAUUUAAAACUUUCUUAAUAUAUAUAUAGUUGAUUUUAGAAAGUUGUUUGGCUUGGAACCUGUAAGUAAGGUCUUAUUUGGCUUAGCAUAAGUCAUAUAACAAUAAUUCUUCAAUAAAAUCAUAACUACAUGAAAAUGAGCUGAUAAAUAAUAUUUAUCAUAUCUAGUAAAAUCACAAAAAAUGAAUAAAUUAUUUAUUAAAUUAUCAAUUUUAAUAAUUUUAAUAAAGAAUAUUUUAUAUAAGUAAUAACUUUGAUAAGGAAUGUGCAAUCGUUUUACCUCUCCGUGUAAAAAAAUUCUGUAGCGAACUUUAUCCGCACGCAAAAAUCUGAAUUUACAGGAAACCACACUCUUUGAUAAAUGAUGUGAUACGUUAAUUCAUUCUAAUAAAGUUGUAUAUCAAAAUUUAAUAAUUAUUUAAAUUAUUUUGACCUAUUUGAGAUAAUGGUAAACUACCAUACUAGUAAAGUGUAGGUGUUAUUUUGUAAUUUAGCCUAGCCAACCCAACUAAUCACUUAUUAUUCUACAGCCGUCCAAUUAACACCAAAAACACCAUACUCUGGGAUGCAAAUGGAUUCGGGUCGGUGGAGCUUCGUUUUGAUCUGUUUUGAAUAAAACGAUAAAUAAAAAUUAAAAAUUAAAUAAUAAUAAUAAUAAUAAUAAUAAUAAUAAUUUGCUUUAAAUUUGUUCAAAUUCAUUAAGAAAAUGGGGAUGGAGCCAGGAGUGGCAAUUCAAUUCGCUGUUCGCGAACUAGUUCGUGUUCAGUUCGAAAUGAGCUCGAUAUUAAAUCACUCGUUUAGUAAAUGAACCGAACACGAGUUAGGAAGCUCGAUAUCGAAUUGCUCGUUUAGUAAAUAAGUAAAACACGAGCUGAAUUUUUCGGCUCGUUUAAUAAACGAACCGAACACGAGCUGGGAUCAGUUCAUUCGCACUUGGCUCGACAACAGCUUGAAUACAUAUAUUUUAUAUUUAUAUAAUUUAUUUAUUUUAUAUUUAUAUAUAUUUAUAUAUAUAAAUAAAUAUUAUAUAUAUAAUAUAUAUUUUUUUAUUAUUUAAUUUUUAGUAAGAAAAAUAUAAAGCUGAACUCAAUUAUAAAAAAACUCAUUUAUAUGUAAAAUUUCAACUAUUAAAUUAAAGUCUAAUUGAUAAAAUUUUAUAAAUUUAUUUUUUAUAUAUAUUCAAUCUAACCCAUUAAACUUAUUUUUCGUUGGUCAGUUCGUGAGCUAGCUCAUGUCGGCCCGUUUAUUAUUGAACCGAACACGAGCUGAAUUUUUCGACUCGAUACUUUAACGAGUCAACUCGUGUUCAGCUCGUUUAUUAAACAAAUGGAACACGAGUCGGUCACAGCUCGCUCGUGUUCGGCUCGUUAGCACCUCUAGAUGGAGGGGAUGUGUAUCUUUCACAGAUCCGUUCGGACCCUCGCGAAUGGAGNAAAUAAAUAAAUAAAUAAAUAAAUAAAUAUUAAUAAAUAAAUAAAUAAACAAAACAAAAAAAAAUUAAGAACUUACUAGAAGCUUCUAGAAUCUCCAGGCCAAGUUCCCGCCGUUUCCUCCCUACUCCUCUCCCUCCUCUCUCCCUUACUCCACCAAAAUAUCUCCUCCUCCUCCUCCUCCUCCUCCUCCUCUCCCCUCCUCUCCUCCUCCGGCGAUCCCCUCACCAUCGCCUCGGCGGCGGCGGCGGCGGCGACGAGCUCCGGCGGGACGCCGUGGCCGAGGAUCUGGAAGCAUCCGAGCUCCGCCGCCGCCGACUUCAUCUUCUCCGUCGCGGAUCCGGCGCCGACUCCGGAAUCCAGAAGCCCCCGCACGUCGAUCUCCGCCGGGAUCGUCCGGGGUAGGGUUAGCUUCGGCACGCUGCGCGUGCUCCGCAAGAAUCGGGCCAUCUCGUCGUCGUCGUAGGGAUCGUCAUCGGACGGUUGAGCAUGGGCGAUCGGCGAUGGAGGGGGUGCUCGGGAUUCUUCUAGAAGCUUCGGAGGAGUGCUCGCCCAGAGAGAUUUCGCCAUGAGAGAAGGAGAUGGCGAUCACGAAGGGGGUGAAAAUAGAGAGGCAAUCUCUCUCAUUUAAAAGCUAUGGUGAUCCCCGUACGUUUGCGAUAUUGCGACUUGGUCCAUAUACUUUUUACUAAAAUCUUUAAUAGUUGUGAGUUGUGACUUGAAUUACGUUACACUUUAGUCCAAGAUAACUUUUUUUAGUUUUAUUUGGAUGCAUGAAUAUUUAUUUGUGAUAAUGUGUUUGAUUCAUUAAAGAAACAUGCAAUAAGAUUACCUAUUAACUUUAGAUAAAGAUAAUAUUCAAUAUCAGAUUUAUACUUAUUAAGACAUCCAAUAAGAUUUUUAUAUUUUGUGUCGAAAUAUGUUGGAUUGUUAUUACAUCUACUUUGUUAUAAGAACAUUUUACAAUUUUGGAUCAUUAUAAAAUUCCAAGUAUAACAGUUCUUUAGUAUAAUGUAUAUUUCUUACUUAUAAAAUGUUUAUUCUAUUUCAAAAGAAUAAUUGGGAGGCUGCGAAUGUUCACAAUAUAUAGGCCUUGUUUGAAAAGUACAGGGAUCAAUUCGCAAUAUGGUGAUAAUACAGUGACCAUCUAAAAAAAAAUUAAAAAUAAAAAGGAUAAAGUGCAGAGGAGAGGCAUGUGGUAAUGAUAGUGUGUCUUCUAACAUGAUGAUGAAUUCAACCUGGGUCACAGCUGUGGUGAGGGCUCUUUUCAUCUUUUCCCCCUUUUUAUUUUGCUUUUGUUAAUUUGAUCUAUGUGUUCAUCCUUAAUUUGGAUUAAUUAGUGGAAUUAUUAUGCAAAUAUAAGUAUGGUUUGAUCCAAAUGGUGGAACUAAAUUUGGUGAAACUUUUGUUUUAUGAAAAAACUUCAAAUAUCAUCCUUGUAGCUUCGCAUUUUUUUAUUUUAGUAUUCUGUGGUUUAAAUUGUAUUAAUUUAGUAUUUCGGGAUUUUAUUUUUCUUUUUUUAUUAUUUCCUUCGUUAAUUUUUUUCGUUAAAUCAAUAACAAAGUUAAAACUAAAAGAUACUAAAGUGAAUAUUCGAUAAAUCUAAGUGGAGUAUCUGAAGUUUUUUGUACAUAAUUUAAUAAAAUAUUUACAGGAAAGUUGACGAAAAGAAAAAAAAUGAAAUCACGGGAUACUAAAUUGAUACGUUUUAAAUAAAAAAGUACUAAAGUGAGAACAUACGAAACUCCAUGGGUGAUAUUUGAAGUUUACCCUUGUUUUAUUUGUGAAUUGAAGAAAUUUUGCGUGACAUGUGACCGUUCAAUACCAGCUUAAUUGCAUUAUUAGUUUUAGCACUUCACUAUAUUAUUUUCAUAAUAUAGUGAAGUGUUUAAAUGAAAAGUAUAAGUCAUGAUAAGUACUGAUCAUAACUUUGAAUUUUGUCUUCUUUGUGUUGGAGAUUGUUUGUUAAAUUUUUAUAUUUUUUCUAAAUUCGCAGUUCCUAUAGGGACUAUUCAUUUUACACUAAAUUAAUAAUAUAAAAAUAUCACUAUUGAAAUGUAUAAAAUCUAUUUAAAUAUUUCUAAAUUUUUAGAGAAUUCAUAACUUUCUAUUGAAAUUGUUGUUUGUUUUACAGCUUUUUAUUUCAAUUCUCAUUUCACUUUAGAAUGAAAAUAAUCUAUUUUAUUUAUACCUCAAUCUGACUUUGAAUUCCGGAUUAACCGAUUUCAAAGUAAAUUACUUAAAAACCUUCUCUUACAAACCCCUCCCUAUUUUCUUCUUCCACCACUCUUCGCUCUAUUAACCAAUAUCCUCUCUCAAAUCCUAAAAACACUUUUAGAUGAUUCGUUUAUCCAUUUUCAAUUCCAAUGCAAUUCAAUUUUUAUUUUCAAUUCCUAUUUCAUUCAUGAACUAGAUUUGUUCUUCUCUCAAACACCUCUCUCUCUUCUUCCUUCAUCACUCUUCGCGCUUUUAACUGAUAUUCUCUCUCAAAAUCCUAAAUGUCCAUUCGGAUUUCCAUUCUAAUAAUAAGUCAGAUAUUUUUAAAUGAUUCGUCAUUCCAUUUUCAAUUCCAAUGCAAUUCAAGUUUUAUUUUCACUUUCGAUUUCAAUCGUGAACUAG